UUCUUUCAAAAAAAAAGACAGAGAGUCUUCCUACUCUCUCUCUCCCUUUUCUAUUUUUCCUCCCUUGCAGAUAGGGUUUCGAGACCCAUCCUCGCUGCCAUCGUCUGACCGCCGCACCACCACCAUACUCGGUGGCCGGCAAUGCACAAGAAUAGGCCAUUCGGCCUUGUUCCAAAAGAGUUUGAAGGCCUAGCCUUCUUGAGUCGAAAAGAACCGAAAGAAAGGGCCCUCACCCCUCUUUUAGCCCCGACGAUGGAGGAGAGACCUCCCGCGAAGCAACCACAGGCGGUUCCGGUAAGGUUCUUCUCUUCCUUUUCUUUUUAUUUUAUGGCUACUCUUAUUUAAUAGAUUCGUGUUAAAAUAAAAAGGAAAUAUUAGAGAGAUGAAAAACGAAAUGGAAAUAAAGAAAGUAGAAUAAGAGAUCAACCUUUUGUGUUUUUUUCUUUUUAUUUCCAAUGUUCGUUUGAUACGAUUUUUAUAUAUUCAAAGGUUCCCCCUUCCGUUCAGUCCUUCAUUUCGGGUUUUAUAACCCCUUUUUACAUCCUUUUUCUAUUAUUCUAUCCUGUUUUUUUUGUCUUGAUCUUGCAGGGCAUGGAGGUGCUGGUAGUGGAGGAGGAGCAUGCAGCGGCAGAUGGUGUCAGACGCGUGGACACGCGAAGCCAGCGAUUGGCGAGUAGCGGCGGUGGGCGUGCGCAGGAGGUGGCAGCAACAACAUGCGGCUGAGGUUUCUUUUUGUGUUUGAAAGUUGGUGUAGUUUUGGGCCAUUCGGGCCUCUAGGGUUUUUAUUAAUAUUGGGCAUUUGGGCUUGUAGUUUUUGGGUUUAAAUUGGCUGAAAAUGGGUUGCUUUUGUUUUUAUUAUUUGGGUCUAUUUUGCUGGUAUGGGCCCGGGUAUUUUAUUUUCUGAUUUAGGCCAUAUUGGCCUGCUUUAAUGGACUGUGGCAUUUUAUUUAUUUUGUUUUAUUUUUGGCACUUGGCCCGGCAAAUUUGGGCUUCUACAGGUUUUUUUAAUUUAAUUUUGUUUUAUUUAGUUUUUCAAAUAAUAUUAUAUUACCUAUCUGAACUCGAUGAUUUAAAACAAAUGUAUUUUACGUGUUAUUCUUUAAUUUUUAAAUAUAAGGCAGUGGUGUAUCAAAUAUUUGCCAAUGUGAUGAAUUCCUCAAAUUUUGAGUUUUCAACAAAUUUGCUUACUCUGAAAAUGUAAUGAAUUGAAAAAAAUAGGCAGCAGUAAACAAAUGUAUAUAAAAUAAUUCCAUAAUUUGUCCAACAAACAUAAAUAAGCCACUUUCAAAACAUAAGCAAUCAUUUAGGAGUUAAAUCAUAAAACAAAAUAUAAAGAGGGGUAAUUUUAUAAAUAUUUUGGACCGGGUUUACCUUAAACCCAACCCAAACUGAAACUAAUUUUUAGAAGAAACUUGUUGAUUUCGGGUUUUUCUUGUUCAUCCCUAAAUAAAACACGUAUUGAUAAUUUAAGUAUUAUAUUAGACUUUUUCAAAGUACAGACACCAUAUUAAACAUUUUAUGAAAGUGCAUGUAUCAUAAUAAAACACAUAUUGGUAGUUUAGGUACCAUAUUGAACAUUUUCAAAAUACACAUGCCGCAAUAAACAUUUUGUGAAAGUGAAGUUACUAAAUUUGACAUUAUCCCUUAGAAGAGUCGGAUUAGAACAGAAUACUUUUUUCUUUUCUUUUCUGCUUUGUUAGAACAUAAUACAUAUUAUAAUUAAAUAUGAUGUUAAACUAUUAUACUAAUGUAUAUAAUACAAAAUGUUUAAUGCGUCUUUUUAUUUUUAUUUAAAAUUUUGAUGUAAUAUCUAUAUUUACCUUAAAAUCAUUCAGUAGGUGGUAAUGCUGUUAUUGUAACAAUAAAUAAAAUAUAAAUUCAAAGGUGUUUAAUUUUUUUAUUUAAAAAUUUGGAAAUUAUAUUAAAAGAAAGUAUGGUAUGAACAAAAUCAUUUAAUUGCUAUUUAUUUUGUAAGGUUGUGGGAUUAAAUUUAGGGAGACAAUUGAUCUAGACAUGAAAAAUUUUAAAAAUAAAUUAUCAAAAUUUAAAUUGAAUUAAUUUGAUUGGCUAUUGUGCUGGGAAGACUUUGACCUAAUUGGAGGAUCAUUUUUCAUUCACAAAAAUGGAUUACAGAAAAGUCGGUCUUAAUUAAUUAAUGGCUAAUGAUAAAUUUGAUCACUAAUAUUGGCAUAUUUUGUCAAAAUGGCCCUAAUUAUAUUUUUGAGACUUUUUUUGUCAUCAACCUUUGAUUUUUUUUCAAACUAUUUUUUCUAACAGAUUUAAUGAAUAAAUUCAAUGUUUCAAUCUUUCUUUCUUUUUCAAAAGGUUUCAAUAUUUCAUACUGUUUGUUUAUUGAGAAAUUUUUCUAUUGAGUUAAUUUUUUUUAGAUAAUUACGUUUAUUUUAUUUAAAUUAAGAGUUUUUUUUUAAAUUUCAUGUAUUGUUUAUUUAUUUUAUUAUUUUCCAUAUGUAAUUAUCUUCUAUGAUUAUUUAAGUAAUAAAUUAGAUAUUAUUAAAAAUAUUCCACAUAUGAAAUUCCACAUCAUCCCCUUUUUAACCUUUUUUAAUGAUACUUUUCAUCAAAUCUGUUAAAAAAACAACUUGAAAAAAGGAACAAAAAUUGAUGGCCAAAAAAAUUUAAAAAAUACAUUUAAGAUCAUUUUGACAAAAUAUAUAAAUGUUGGUGGCCAAAUUUGUCAGUAAACAUUAACCGGAGAUUAGAUUGUUACAAAAAAAAAUUCGCAUGUUUUUAUUAAUUAAUUAAUACAUUAAAAUUAAAAUAGGAAGUUGAACUUAAAAUUUAACCAAACACAGUUAAGUAGUUUGAUUCAUUUCGAAUUAAAGAAUUCAGAAUGUCAGAAUGAAAGGGUUCGCUUUGACCGUUAAGAGCAGGUAACCCGUUCCCUGUGUUUUUGUUUCUAUUGCAUUCUAUCUCAUCGUAUCACAUUCUGUUCUGCGAUAUUUGUCUUAUUCAAUUAUUUCUCUUUAUGACCCAAAAAGGAGCCGUCCUUUAUAUUAGUUGAAAGUUGAAACCUUGAAUAAAGGAAAAUUUGUGAUAUAUGAUCAGAAUGUAGAAUGUCUUUCAAAAAAUUAUUACUUCCUGCCAUUCUUAAUGAGUUGUAGAGUUGUAAUUAGCUGUCUCUUAUAGUGCAUUCAUAAAAACAUUAAUUAUACUUCAUUGUCUUUUUACAUUCUUCUAAGUAACUUAACAUUACAAAACAAAGGGAAAAAGAAUUGUGGGCAAAAAAGAAAAACAAAAAAAACCUGCAUCUUGCAUCCUAAAAUUGUGACAUUUCCUCACGAGUUCUGAUUUCUAUAAUUUUCAAACACAUUGUUCAAAGUUUAGACCCUUUACAAUUCAAAAUACUAGCAUUUCCUCAACUUUUGUUUAGUUGUUUUCUAGAAAGAAAAUUCUUAACAUUUUCUUCCUUUGAAUUCCUCAUCUGCCUCCACUAUGUACAUUUCAGCUCUCUUUUUCUCUGGGGAUAUCCAACGUUGUUCUGCUUCUAACUCUAUUUUUCCCGAGUUAAAUGAUGUUUGCAUGAAUUGGGUUGCUUAUCCUUUUGUCUAUAUCAUUCCUAGUCUUGACUUUAAUGAUGUUUGCAUGAAAUGGGUUGCUUUUCUUCUCUCUAUUGCUGUUACGAUGAUUCGUUUUUUUUUUAUUGCAACUGAAGUAAUGUUUUAAAUAUAGAUUUUAUUUUUAUUUUUUAAAAAAAAAGGGGUUUAAUCUGUACUUUUCUCACUCUUUCUUUCGUCUGAUUAUCAAGUGGUAGGUUGUUAACUUGUUUUUUUCCCAAAUUUUAAACAUAUUUCUCCACCGGUUGUUCACUGGUGGAGAUUCCCUUCAGGUUCUCGCACGCUAAUUGUUUUAGUUUGCUGAAGAAACAUUUCUAAUCUGUUUUUUUUUUCUUCUUCUCUAAAUACAGGUCUUAUGGUUUUCAUCAAACUUUAAGGCCUUUUAGCGGAUCAUAUCAAUUCAGAUUGAAGCGGGUGUUUCAUCCAAGUUCCAACAAUGGUUCUUGGCCUAAGAACUAAGAACAGAAAAGGCUGCUUACAUCAGCUUGUUUACACCGUAAAUGUGAAGGAGAUUAAUCCUUGGACACCAUUGCAAUCACUGCGAUCGGCUCAAUCUGUUUUGCUACAAUGGGAAACUGGUGAUAAGAGUUCUGGAUCCAUAGCUUCUACCAUUGAUAACGGAAAGAUUGAGUUCAAUGAAUCUUUCAAACUUCCAUUAACUUUACGUCAAGAAGCAUCCCGUAAGAGCACGAAUCAUUUGAGUUUCCACAAGAACUGUUUAGAGUUUUACUUGUAUGACUCUCGGAAAGAAAAUGUGUCAAAAGCUCUACUUCUGGGAUCUGCUAUUGUAAAUCUUGCUGAUUAUGGAAUUAUCAAGGAAACUAUAUCCAUUAGUGCUCCUUUUAACUUGAAGAAGAGUUCUAGGAACAUAGAACAUCCUGUUCUUUAUCUUAAUAUCCAACCUUUUGAUAAAGAUAGCUCGAGCGCUUUGUCGAAAGAAGUGUCAUUAGACAAGGAUGGCAGUGAAUGUGUUUCUGAAUUCAUAAAUGAAGGAAAUGAUGAGGAAAUCGAGAUUGCUUCUUUUACUGAUGAUGAUGUUGAUGAUCUUUCCUCACAGUCAUCCCAUAUUACUUCUUCUUCUUCUGUUUUCGAUCAUUCUAGAGAGUCACAUAUUCAACAUGAUAAGGUACUUAGGUUCAUCAUCCUCCUUUUGUUCUUCAUUUCCAUUUUCAUUGAAUUGUCUGUUAACUGUUGUCUUUGAAUUGGGGUAUAAGAUUGGAUUGGAUUUAUGAAUUUGGCUUGGAGGACUUUGAUCCUUGGGCAUUACCAUAAGUACUGCUUUUUGAGGACUUAACACCGUCCUACUUAGACACUCAUGUAUGCUACUCUUAGUAGUGUUAAUUGAAAUUGCAUAUAUUUUGCACAUGCAAUUUUCUGUAUAGUUACAAUUUGUUUAGUUAAUAUGGGGAAUGGGUUUUCAUCUUGGGACCUUUUCUUAAGUUAAGGGGUAGCUGGUGAUUUUAGGCUAUGGCUUGACUUGAAAAUCACUAGCAGCAAUAAGAUGAGCCAAAAUUAGUUUUGGGAACACAUCAGAUGGUUGUUUCUUAUCAUCCGCUACCACCAUGAUUCUAUUCUGGGAGGUCUGUCGUAGUUCUGGUUAAUUUGGUGGCUGUCAAUGUCAUCUUAACAAAGCUAGAAUUUCUGAAUGUUUAAUAGCAUGUCACUGUUGAUUACAGAAUCAAUCAGAAUCAGCCACUGGUGGGUUUGAAAGGCUUGGGCUCACGCUUCCUUCUGCUGGAACAAAUGUAAACUCGGGGGUAAGUCCAAUUGUUGAAGCAUUCAAACAAGUGAAUGGCAAUACUUCUCCUUCAUCUUCAGUGGACUUGUGCUCCAACUCUAUGAAUCCUGUAACUAAUCCUAUGGCUAAAGUUGCAUCCCGGGAGCACGGUGGUACUACCAUUCCAGUAGAGACCAACUUAGACCAUGUAAAGGAUGAAGAUUUGUCCAACAACCCCAAGAAUCUUGUAACUUAUCCCAAGGCUGAAGUAGCAUCCUCAGAGACAAGUGUUACCAUUCCGGUAAAUACGAAUUUAGAAUAUGUAAAAGGUAAAGGUUUAUCCAACAACCCCAAGAAUCCUGUAAGUUAUCCCAUGGCUAAAGUUGAAUCUGCAGAGACGAGUGUUACAAUUCCAGUAGAUACGAAUUUAGACCAUGUAACAGAUAACGGUUUGCCCAAUAGCCCCAAGAAUCCUGUAACUUCUCCUAUGGCUAAAGUUACAUCCUCAGAGAGGAGCAUUACCAUUCCAGUAGAUAUGAACUUUGACCAUGUAAAAGAUUCCCAUGCCAAAAGAGAGGGUGAUAGGAAAGCAUUGAGGCAUGACCAAAGUCAUGUAGACAGAUCUUUAAGUAGCAUUUCACAUGUUGGUCAGCGGAAGGAAAAUGAGGAAAAGACACUGUGGGAAGUUGAGCUGGAUAGCCAGAUUUUAAAUGCCAAGGAAUACUCUCCGCAGGACAUGUUAGGUUUUAUACCGACUCAAGAUUCUACAGAAAAUAAAAUCAGUUGGAGGAGUAACACUUUUGCGUCCAGCUGUGAAACAACUGAAGUCAAAGGUGGCUUCAUUGCAAACGAUGGACAGAAGCAUGCGGCACCUGUUCAAUUGCAUUUUGACAACAAUGGCCUGUCAAAGAAGAUCCAGUUUAUGGAGAAGGCAAAGGAACAUGAUAUUUCCGAGGAGAUUUCUAAUGGUAACUCAAGUGAUAUGCAUAGUGAAAGGGAAGAAACAGUGAACAACUUUUCUAACAGUAAAUUUAACUCAGGUAACAGUUAUGGGCCACUAAAGAAUACUAAGUUCAUGGAGAAGGCAAAGGAAUCUGAUAUUCCUGAAGAGAUUCAUAAUGGUUCUACAAAGGAUACAUGUAAUGAAAGCGAAGAAGAUGCAAAUAGCUUUUCCAACAGCAAAGUUGAACUGGAGUCCAAAAUUGAAAUGCUUGAACAAGAAUUGAGAGAAGCUGCUGUUGUUGAGGCUAGUCUUUAUUCUGUUAUUGCAGAGCAUGGGGGUUCUGUAAACAAGGUUCAUGCUCCAGCUAGACGACUUUCUAGAUUCUAUAUCCAUGCUUGUAGAACAAGUAACCCAGAUAAGAGGGCAAGUGCUGCUAGGGCUGCUGUUUCAGGAUUGGUUUUGGUCUCUAAAGCCUGUGGAAAUGAUGUUCCAAGGUGUGUUCUUACACUUCCUGUAAUUUUUUUCCCUUUUAGAAAAUGGAACUGGAAGAUUUUAGAUUCUACCUUCUCUACCACCAAAGAUGUUAGUUUGGUUUGCAUGUUGAUCAUUCCUAUCCCAUUAUUCAUAGGUUAACCUUCUGGUUGUCAAAUUCAAUUGUACUGAGAGCAAUUGUGAGCAAUGCUAUUGGGGGAAUUCAGCUAUAUUCUGGACCAUGCUUAAAUAGUAGUAGCGAGGGAAUGGUGUUGGAGGACAACUCCCAUCUGCAAGAGGAAUGCAAUUCAACGGAAAGUUUUGAAGAGUGGGUGGACCCUCAGACGUUUCUACUUGCAUUGGAGAAGUUCGAAACUUGGAUCUUCUCCAGAAUAAUUGAGUCAGUCUGGUGGCAGGUCAGUCCUUUCUUUUAAAAGCUUAGUGCAUAUCGUCUUCUAAGUGCAUAUCUAAUGCUAUUUCUUCCUAUAUACUUGCCAGACUUUGACUCCACAUAUGCAGUCGGCUGCUGCAAAGAGCUCAAGCUCAAGGAAAACAUCAACCAAAAGAUAUGGAUUAGGCGAUGAAGAGCAGGGGAAUUUUUCAGUCGAGCUUUGGAAGAAGGCUUUUAAAGAUGCCUGCGAGAGGCUUUGUCCCAUUCGAGCAUGUGGACAUGAGUGUGGUUGCUUAUCCAUGCUGGCUAAAUUGGUAUUAUGAUACAUUUUAAGUUAUUUUUAUUUUAUGCAUAAAGAACUUGGCCUUGAAGUCUAUCCUUGUUUAUGUUCAUUAUGUCUCUUUGUGAUAUGAUGGGGCCAUGUCGUUGUUUCUAUCACAUUAAUUAUCAAAUUGUUAAUGUUGUCGACAUGCAAAUUCGAGAUUAGGUCAUGGAGCAAUUGGUGGGUAGAUUGGAUGUUGCAAUGUUCAAUGCUAUUCUUCGUGAAUCAGUGGACGAAAUGCCAACAGAUCCUGUUUCUGAUCCUAUAUGUGAUUCAAAGGUUCUUCCCAUUCCUGCAGGAAAAUCAAGCUUUGGGGCUGGUGUACAAUUAAAAAAUGCUGUGAGUAUUUGGUUGCUCUUUCUGUUGAGCUACUUUAGUACUUAAUUGCCUCUAUGAUUCGUAAGUUCUGAACCCGUUUCCAUAUAUUUAAAGAGAAAUCCACCCAACUUACAUUUUACUGAUGUUAAUAUUUUUAUAUGCACAUCAAAAGUACACAUUUUCAUAUAUUCGUUUAAUAACUCAUCUGCUGCUGGAGAUAGUUAACUGUAUCAAUACCUGCAAUUCCAGCCUAUUAAUAUGCUUUACCUUCUGCUUUAUUUUCUCUCUUUAACUUAACACAUGAUUUUAUCCGACAGUCGGAAAUUUCAUUCACUUCGAAGAAGUUAAAUGCUUGAACCUUGUGAUCUCUUGUCCCCCAAAUAUUUUAUUAAGAAUUAAUUUAAGCAUGCAAAAGCUUAUUAUGUGUUUAACAUUUGACUAAGAGGGAUCUUUUUUCUAUUGACCUUGCCUUAGCAGAUUGGAAACUGGUCAAGAUGGCUAACUGAUCUAUUCGGUAUUGACGAUAAUGACGGUCCUGAAGAUAGCAACGAAGUUGAUGAUGACAAAAAAGCAGGAUUUGAGGCUUCCUUCAAGGCCUUUGGUCUCCUCAAUGCAUUGAGUGAUCUCAUGAUGCUUCCAUCCGAUAUGCUUGUCAAUCGGUCCCUGAGGAAGGAGGUAUAGUUCGGAAUCAUGUAUAUAUGUAUCAUCAUACAUAUUUAGUCUUGUAUAUAUCUCAUUCUUCUGUUGCAUCCUUAUUCAUGUUGAAGGUAUGCCCCAAAUUCAGCCCACGAUUGAUCAUCAAGGUUCUUAACAAUUUUGUGCCUGAUGAAUUCAAUCCGAACCUAGUUUCAGAGGCAGUUUUUGAAUCAUUGGACGAGGUUUGUCAUGACAUAACCCCAAAAAGAAAAAGUUUGCUUAAAAUGAACUUUCCACUUCUUUUGUCAACCCGGAAUCUUCCAAGUUUAUGGUGCUGAAUUUUAUUUUUCCUGACGGAUCCGUGUUCUCGUAUUCAGGAUAAUUCUGAGGUUGGGGACGAGUCUAUUGCAAACUUUCCAUGUAUGGCAGCUCCAACAGUGUAUUCACCACCUUCGGCAGCUUCCCUAACAGGCAUUGUCGGAGAGGUCGGAAGUCAAGCCUUGCGAAGAAGUAGAUCAGUGCUUAGAAAAUCAUACACUAGUGAUGAUGAGCUUGAGGAGUUGGAUUCACCCAUCACCUCGAUCAUUAUCGAGAACCGCAGCGAUUCAACCGAUUCAAAAUCACUGAAUUGGAUGAGAAUAGGAAAGGGAGACCGAAAAGUAAUUCGAUAUCAAUUAAUCCGAGAAAUAUGGAAAGAAGGCGAAUGGUAAAAUUUCUUAAGUUUUAACCCCCUCCCACUGUUCUUCACUGAACAUGGUUUUGUAUAUAAGCUCAUGACUUAUAGGCUGGUGUAUUAAGUUGUUGGAGUUUAACAGAAAUCGGUAUUUUCCAUCAGCUAUUCUUCUAUUUAUUAAGAGCUCAUAUCGUCUAUGUUAUGUUUUUUUUGCAUGCCAACACAAUCAAGAUACUGCAAGGGCAUGUACGGAAAAGGUAAGCUUAGACUUAAAUCUAUUUGCUCGUUUAAUCAAUAUUUUUCAAUUGGAUCAUUUUAAAUUAUCUUUUUUAUUUUUAAAAUUUUAAAAUUUUAAUCUUAACAAUAACAAACUAAUAUAACAUUAUGUUGUUUGUUCCAGAACCUUUAAGAGCUUUCUAGAAUUGCUUUGAGAAAGGAUGACUCAUUAUUUUUACUGAUCUGUAGAAUUGGUUACUCCAGCUAACCAACUUUGUCUUCUUUGUUACCAAUUUAUGUAUAAAUCUGCUACCUGUUAUUGGAAAAGGGGAUUGGUUAAAUGACAUUUCAGUUUGCCCCUCUAGUUUGUUGUUUUUUUCUAAUCAUGAUUUAUUUUCUGACUCAUUAUACAUAUAAUCAUAUAUUUGCCCCUUAAAAAAAUGGUUUGCAAAUUUUAAAAAUAAUACCACUUCAUAAAUUUGAUAGUUAUUAUUAGAAAAAACUCUUUUGGUUGGUGUAAGUGGAGAAAAAACCAAUUUCCCUUUGGUUGGUAUCAUAUAUGUAAGGUAUUUUUAAAGAAGGAAGGUUCAGAAAAAUUUGAUAUAGAUUAAAAUUUUAUUACUAUUUUUUAUGAAAAUAUAUUUUCAACUAUUAAAUAAAUAUUAAUAUAUACAAUUUGAUUGAUAUGAUACAAAUAUUGGAUUGGUUUGAAAAUUUACAUUCAUUCCAACUGACAAGUACAAUUGUAUUGAUUAAAUGCUAAAAUUACAUAAUUUAUAUAAUUAAAUUGGUUAAUUUAUGAGAGUGCACCACUGAUUUUUUCAUGUUUAUAUUGAAUUUUGUGCAAUGAUACAAUUUGGGGCUAAAUAGAAGAAAAAGGAAACAAUUGGACUAGAUUGAAGAAAGGAGCAAAGAAGGCGGGACAAAGCAGAAUUUUUCUAAGAUUUAAUUAGCUGAAAUUCUAUGUUGACUAAGUGGAGUUUAUGUAGGGAUUUUUUAUAUCAUGGAAUAUUUUAUUUUCUUGAUUUUCUAUGGCUAGUGGCUCUUAAUUUAGUAAAGCCACUAGUAUAAAUAGGGGGCUACUUGUUCAUUUAACCAUCAAGUCAUUAAUCAAGUUUUUAAUUACCAAGUUUUUUUUAUUAAAUUUUGCAUCAAGUUCUUUUUAAGCUUUUCAUCAAGUCUUUCAUCAAGUGUUUUUCAUCAAGUUUUUAAUCAAGCCUUUAUCUUUUGAAUUCAAUCUUUUCUUUUCUUUUUGCAAAUUUAUUUGCUUACAUUGACUCCUUAUAUUUUUCCAUUUAUUAGUUUCCAGCUUUGGAAAUACUGCACCGAAACCUUGCGUCACGCACAUCCAUCCAUUUACAUUUUUUUUUAUCCAACCCUCUCCAAAUAUGCCUAACUCCAACAUGCCCAAAGCCUUAGUCAACUAAAUCCAUUUCAGCUUUAGGUCGGUGUUAGCUUCGUCAAGACCCGUGAGUUACAAACCCGAGCAAUUUAACUCCUAAAUUUCAGUACUUAUUAUUUCUCCAGAUUAAGAGUAUGAUUUUGUCAACUCACAAAGUCAAAUCAACACUAAGUCAAAAAAGACGUCGUUUGAGUUAAUGUGGUUAGACGUACAGUUGGAAUUCCGAAAUGAUAGAUUGUCUAAUCGAUUUUCCGUGAACACAUUUCAGGUUCCAGGUUCCAUGAACCUAAAACCUAUGGAACCUGGAACCUGGAACCUCGAAAAAACCCGUGCCUAAAGCUGAGCUUAGUUUAAUUAAUUUUUCUUCAGAUUUAUUUAACUGUUUUUAUUAUUUUAUUUUCAGCUUUUACUUUUCACGCAUUUUUUCCUUGUUUAUUUCAGGUUUCAGGUUUUCAAUUUUAUCCUCUCCCCAAAUUUUUUGGGCACGACAACUACCCAGACACAAAUCUAGUCGAGAAAGAGAAACAAUUUUCAAUAAACCCAGUCUCUAAGGGAUCGACCCUACUCCCUAUACUGCUUAAAUUACAAAUUAGGCGUAGAUUUAUAUUGGUGGACUCGACACCCAUCAUGUAUCCAUAAAUUCAAUGGUUAGAUCGUUAAAAUAUUAGUAGUGCAAAGAAAUUUAUUCAAUUUAUUUUUUUCAUAAGUUAAAUAUUAAGUUGGUUUUAAAUAAGUUUUUAUUAUAAAUAUUUAUGUAAUUAAUUUUAUUUUAUUUUUUUGCAAUCAAUUCAAGUAACUUUUAAUGUUUCAAUAUUAAAAUUAGUGAAUAGUUAAUUGUUAAACUUAAAAUAUAUUUUAUAUUAAAAAAUAUUAAUAAUGUUGAUUAAAUUAAAUUUAUAAAUAAUAAAUAACCUAUAAAAUAGUAUAAAAUAUUACUUAAAUUAUAAAUAUUAAUAUUAAUAAAAUAUCGAUUUUUAUUGUUUUAAUCUUAAAUAUUUUCAAGAUUAUAUGCUAUUAAUAUAAUACAUUCUAAAUUAUUUAAAUAUUUUUAAAAAUAUUGUAUAGUUAAAUCAAUUUUUAAAAUCAUUAAGAAUUUAAACGAUUAAAAAAAUUAUAUAAUUACCAUACAUAAUUGUCCAACCGUGCAUUGCGCAGGAUAUGACAUAUCAUAUGUAAAGUAAGGUAGGGGGCAUUUUAAGAAAUUUUGAGUUCCAAAGUGUGACAAGUGUCACCACUAAAUAACAUCUGUUUAAUUGGUGAAACACAUUCAUUAAAGAUAAUAAACAAAUUUGGAAAUGAUCCCUAUAAUUUCAAUGAGUAAUUUCAAUUAGUCCUUAUUUAUGAGCUGUAAAUUGUGGAAUAUGUUAGUUUUUCUUCCCUACAUACUAAGAUAAUCAUAAUUUUUACAACAUUAACUUCCUUUUUCUUAUUAAACAAGCUAUCCUUUAAAAUUAUUACAUAAAACUAUUGAGUAUAUUUUUUAAAUACAAUUAAUCUGUGUACUUAAUUAAAAUAAAAAUGACUUUUCAAUAAUCAUAACAAGUUAGUAUACAUUAUAAUAUUGCAAAAAUUAAAAUAGGAAUUAUAACAACAUUUUGGAACAACUUUUUAAGGCAGAGAUUGAAGAUAUUAAAUAUUAGAAAUCAAGAGUUCUUUUUAUAAAUUCUAAUCUGACUCAUUUGUUAAUUUGGAAGAAUAUUAGUAAUUAAUUCAUCUUUAUUUUAAACAUUACUUUCUACAAAUUAAAUAUUUAUAUUAAUUUAUUAUUAUUUUUCAAUAUUAAUAUUAUUGAAAUGUUACAAAAUUUAAUUGAUACAUUCAACCAAAUAAAGAAUUAAUCAUUGAAAUAUGAUUGAUUGAUAUUGGUCAAUAGACCUAUUCAUAAAUCAAGUUAUCCAUUCAAAUCGAAACAUUCGCCCAAAUUUUAAGAUUUGAAAAAUAAUAUUAAGCCCAAAAAAUAAGAUCCAUUUAAAAUAUGAAAUAAGCUUUAAACGUUCAAAACUAAACUCAUUUUACAAUUUAAUGUUUUAUAUCAUGUUAUUUUAUAUAUUGAGUAAUUUAUAACACAUAAAAAUUAAAUCUAUAAUAAAAUAUAAUACUAAAUAUUAAAUAUAUAUAAUUAUUACAAUUAUUUAUUUUUAUAAGUUAAGAUAUAUUUUUAAAAAUAACAAAACAAGCUUAAAAUAAACUUAAAUUAACCAUUUACAAAUCUAAACAAAAUUAUCAAAAUUUUAAACCAAUAUUUCAAAUCCCACCAAAUUUGAGUAAAUAUAAACUAAAUUCAUAUUUUUAGGUCAACUAAAACCUAAUUCAUUUUAUAAGCACCUCUAUUGUCUAGAUUUAAGAAUGAAAAAUUCAAAACAAGUUUUGAUUGAGAAAAAUCAUUCUAAAAUUUCAACUCAACUAAUUAGCAUAACAUAUUAUUUAAUAUAUUUAAAAUUCAACUUAAAAUAUUUACAACCUACUUUAAUUACAUCGGUAUUUAAAACAAGUACUUCUGUUUCAAAAUUUCAAAAAGGUACAAGCGCUCAAGGAUAAACAACCAUCCUUCAAUACAAUCAAUGUUAACGAUGAAAUCAACAAAAUCUUAUCAUUUGUACUUGUAUAUUGCUAUUCUUUAAUAUUCAUCAUCUAGAAAUAUAGCACUGUGUCAAAACAUAUAAACACAAACACAGUCAUUUAGCAUAUUAAUUUAAAUACCUUGGAUUUUGACUUGCAAGUAAUAUUAUGAGGAAAAGAUAUUUAUAGAUUUUGAUGUAAAUUUUGAGAUAAAAAGAUGUAGCGACCUGUUCGAGGCCACGAUCAAAACGAAAAUGAAGUUAAUGGGCACGGAGAAUCGCUCAAUGAUAUUGCCAACCUUCAAUGCAAAUCACGCCAUCAAUAAUUAAUUGACGCCUUUGCUCUGCAAAUUGGCUUUCUUUUAAUAAGAAGCAAAAGAAAAAUAAAAAAAUCUUUAGAAGAGGAGCAGCUGUGAGAUGGCAGAUAUAGAUUUUUGGAAGAAGGGUCGUUUAUAUAGAGGGUGGUGAAGAACCAAAACCCUAAGUCGAGAUUGAAUUAUUACUGUAAAAUGGCCAAAAAUACCCUUCUUUUUAUAGCUUUUUGCGCUUUUGUGGGAGCAGGGCCUGGAUGAGUUUGUUGUGGGCUCAAUUUUCAUGCUUAUAUUAGGCUUAAUUCAUUGUUCCGCUCUUAAAAGUAUAUAUAUUUUCCCAUUUUGGUGUUUAAAUUUUUUAUUUUAUAACCAUGGUUUUAAAAUUAUGUUAGGCAAUUUUGAUCAAUGAAAAAGUGUCACAUGACAUGUUUUGGCCAAUGAAAAAAUGCAUCAUGUAAUUAAGUUUAUUUAAAAUAAAAAUAUUAAAUUUAAAUUUUGGACGACGCAACGUUAUUAUUAAAAUGAGUGACGUCAAGAUGAGCUAGGGCUUGUCGCUGCGACGUGACAUAUUGUGAUGGUUAUAUCAUGACAAAAACUAGAUAAAGUCGCAACUUCAAUCCAUAUAUUUUAAAAAUUUUGCAAUGUGAUCCUAUUUUAUACUUGGGUUGAUAAAAAAGCUCUUAUAAGCUCGAUUAAAGCUCUAGACUAUUUGUUUAACCUGGAAUGAAUGGGGUUAACAUUGAAUAGUAUGUGUAAAUGUUUGUUUUAAUGUGAACUUGAUGGUAGUUGCUCCGGCAACGAAUGUAACAUUCUAUAGCUCAAAUCCAACAAUUAGGCCCAGCGAAAGGCGUUACAAUGAGUCUUGAUUUUUUAUGUCUGGAGAUACAUUUAGCUUUAGGGUGUUUUUUUAAUUUAACUUAUGUAUUAAAUGAUAAAAUGAAUAUCAUAAAAAAAUUAUCAUUUCAAUUUGGUUUUUAAAAUUUAAUGGGUAUUGGGUUUUAAAGUUUUAAUGGGUUUUGACUUUUAAAAGUAUUGAGUAAUAUGUAUUUUAAUUUAAGGUUUAGGGUUUAGAGUAUUUGAGUUUAUUAUGUAUUUGAGUAAUUACCAUUUACAUACUCAAUCCCUGAGGCAAGGAUCGGUCUGAUCUUACGAAGAGAACUCUAUAAUUCAAAAAUGUUCUUAAUAGCAAGUAGGUUUCUCGAGUCCUAAAGAUAUUUAGCUUUAAGAGUUUGAACCCAAAGACUAAUAUAUUCAUAUAUUAAUCCCCAACCCAAUUUAAUUGGGAGGGCUUGAUUUUUCUUUUGGGUGAGGGGAUACCUAAUUUAAUUUUGGUCUAUGUGCUAUACUCGAAUUUAAUAUCUAAUCUUUAUACUACAAAUUUUUUUAUAUAAAUUGGUACUUCAAUUUUUACAAUAUCAUUUAUUAGCGCAAAUACUUUAUUUGAUUAAAAUGUUUAUAUACUUUUAAAAGUUGUAAACAAUGUUAAAAUCAUUUGUUAAAAUUAAGUCUAUUGUAGUGCUUUUUUCUAUUACAUUGGUAGCAAAUUGAUACAUGCAUGGAUGGGGUGAAAUUUAUUAAAUUCCAUUCACCGAAACUACCAAUUUUUAAGUUUGGAAAAUCAGUAGACUUACGGCGACUUUUUGGAUGGGAUAUUCUAGACAUUUCUAGGUUGAGAUGUCUUCAUGGCGUUUAAAGAUCUAUCUCUUAGCUUCGAAACACAUUUUGAAUCACUUGAUUUUGAAUUCGGGAGCUCAAGUUAUGACCGUUUUAGUGAAGACUGUGCAAGUAGAAUUUCUAGACAGGAUUAUGACGGGAAUUACGAGUUUCAGGCUUUUAAUUUGAGUUUAAAUCAUAUUGGGUCCGAGUUUUAGGCUUAAUUUUUAUUAUAUAUGAGCCCGAUAUUGUAUUUAUCAGCUCUUAUUAUUUUAUUAUUUCAAAUUUUUAAUAACUAUUAAGUAGUUUAAGUUAUUUAGGAGUUUUAUGUCAAUAAGAAAGUUUAGUUUAAAACUACUUCUUGUUUAGAUUAAUUAGAAUUCUAGUAUACUUAAAAAUUUUAUUUAGAUUUAUUUAGCUAGCCUAUAUAUAGGCAUUUGCAUUGUACAUAAAAGAGACAAAUUUGUUUUCAUUAAUAAAAUUUUUAAUUUUGGGAGUUUGUUUCUUGUGCAAGAUUUAUUUCUUGUGAUUUUUAGAAGUAGUUUUAUUCUCGAUUUUUUUGAAAGAGUCAUGAGAAUUCAUUCUUCACCUUCCAAUUUGUCAAGGAUUAUUUCUUGGAGGAUUGAUUAAAGUCAUUAAUUGAGUUUGUUUGGAUUUAUAUCUUAAAGGAUUCAAUUGGAUAUUUAUCUUUCUAUCCAUCAUAGCUAUUGGUUUAUUCAAUUCAUCUUCCACUUUUAAAUUUUAUCUAUUUAUUUAUAUAUUAUUAUUUGUUCUUUGUUCUCAAAUUUCUUCUUUUACUGUUUUUGACUUCUUUAUUAUUAAAUUUGUUUAUUUCUUUUUUCAGAUCAGAUCCAAAUCUUUCCUUUUCGAGUUGAACAAUUUGAAUUCGAUUUGCUUCCACCUUUAGACCUAUCAAAAAUGUGUAUUUUUGUUUAAAUUUUAAAAUGUUACACUAACGAAUUUAACAAAAAAAGAUAAUGUUAACAAUUGAAUUUAAAUUUUUAAAUUUGAAAAAUACAGAAAUUAAAUUCUUAAAAGCGAAAACAUAAAAAUUAAAUUUCAAAUGUACAAAGGCUACAUAGACAUAGAAUAUAUUUUAAUCUUCAAAGAAACAUUAUUUAAAGAUUGUGUUUUAGAUUAAAUUUUAGUGUAUAUUGUAAAUAAUGUUUGAAUAUUAAAAUGUACUCAAAUUAUUCAAAUAAAGAAAGGGGCCCACUGGCCCAGUUUGAGCUGAUUUUGUCCUUUUUGGACGUUUUCGCUUUUAAAAAACAAACAAACUUAAAUUAGAACCAAAACAAAACAAACCCAUGUCGAAAAUCGAAAUGGCAGUUUUCGUAAAAUUUAACAAAGAAAAAAUUGGAAAAUGGUACGCCCACCGUGGGGCUCGAACCCACGACCACAAGGUUAAGAGCCUUGCGCUCUACCGACUGAGCUAGACGGGCAAUUUGAAAGUUCACCAAAAUAAUUCAAAAUACCUUUUACUUUGACUAAUUACAUUCCCGCAACAAUAUGUAGGAUUCUAUAAUUGAGAUAUGAACCCAUGUCUACAAACAAACUGUGGAAAGAAAAUAUCUUGGAAGUCAAAACUUGAAAAGUAUUUCAUAGCAAACAACUGUUGUAAAAGAAAAUGAAAAAUAUCAAAUUUUAUAUAACAUAAAUUAUUAGCUUAUAAAAUUUUUUAUAUAAACAUAAAAUAUAUUAAAUAAAAUUAUAAUACAAAAAAAGUACACAAAUAUGAAUUGAGUACACGAUUUUCUGGAUCUACUGUAUAUUAUCGCGUUUGUGCACUAAAGCCCAAGUGAAAGUACAUUUUCUAAUGCUCGGUUUUGAACAUACAGACAUUGUGAUUGAAUGAGUGGCUAAAUUUAAAGCUACUAUGACAAAAUAGAAUCUAAAGAAAGUGGAGCACUCGGACGAUCAUGGCCUGUGCUUCUUCAUUGUUGAUAAUAUCACAACACAAUUCUCUAUUUACUUCCAUCUGCUCCUUUUGAAAACACUGGAUUUCCACAGUUUUGGAAAUACGCAUGCUUUGGUUCAUCAUCUAAGGUUUGAAUAAAUAUAAUUUGCUUCAAUCAAAUUUUCUUGUUGGCCUUGUCAAUCCUUCUUCGUCAUUAAUUCUAUUACUGUGUUUUGAGCUCAAAUUUGCUUGGUUCCUACCAAGCAAAUCAAAGAUUUUCUCUUAUUCCAUUAUCACAUGAUCUUUCAUGCAACAUUAAUCUACCAUUUUAACUUGGUUUAUGAGUAUAUCGUUGGGUGCAAUAGUAAGUCAUAUUGUACUCUAAAAAAAUAUAAAUUCAAACCUGAAAAAUGACAUUAUUGAAACGGACAAUCACUAACCUCAAACGUUCAAGAUCAAAAACUUAUUUAUUCAAAGUCAAUUAAUACCCACUUAGAACCUUUUUUUGUUGAUACUAAAUAACCAAAAAUUAAAUAUAACAAUUUUGGAUAUGACUGGAUUCCAUGAUAUCCAUAUAACAAAUAAUUAAAAUAUAACAUAUAUUAAUGCACGAAUACAUAAAAAUUUACAAAAUUUUAAUAAUUUAAAAAAUCCUCAAUUUUUAUUAAAUCAAUUAAACUUUUUUUACACCCAGUUGACUUUCUGAAUUGAAAAAAAGGUAUUAAAUAAUUUUUUGACCAACAAAAAUCAUCUAUUGUUAAGUUGUAACUACCAUGAUUAGAUACUAAAACUAUAUUAUAGUGUAAAAUAAAAAGUAAACUAAAUACAUUGCACCGCAUCAAAUUAUCCAUCCAAACCCAUCCUAAAUGGUGGCUAAUGACGAUUGAUUCAGUUGAUUAUGAUGAAGCCACAUACCAUGUAUAUAAAAUGCUAACAUGAUAUAAAAAUAUAUAGAAGAUAUGGGAAUAUAAAAAAAUUUAAAAAUAAAAAAGAGUAAAAGAUUAUAACAAUUAUUAAGUGGAUCUAGAUAAUAUAUGGAAAAUCAAUAAAAAUAAUAAAUCUAUACAACUAUCUUUUUGUUUUUUUUGGGUAAACUACCUAAUUGGUCACUAAAUUUUUAGGGCAUUCUCAUUUUGGUCACUCAAAAUGCAAUCUUUGCAAUUUCGUCACUCAAUUUUUAGGGUGCUUUCAUUUUAGUCACCUAACCGUUAAAUCUAUAACGACAAUUAACUGUAUACGCCACAUCAUGAUCACACUUUCAUUUUGGUCACCCAACUUUUAGGCUGCUUUCAUUUUGGUCACCAAAUAAUAUCCUUUUUUUAAGUAUUGGUUAGGAUAAAAAAAGUUAACCAUUAAAGUGAAAAAGCGGUAGAACCUAAAAUAAUGCUUGUACUUGUUUACCCCCUUGGCAAAAGUUUAAUUUUUUUUUUGAAUAUUGAAAUUUUAAAUUUUAAAACAUCAAAAUCAAUUAAAUAAGUUAUUGACGAUUUUUUAUCCCUUGAUAGUAUCAACCGAUUUGUUACAAUAAUAUUGAAAUAAUUAAAUUAAUUAAUUUAGCCUCCUUUUAAAUUUUAAAAUUUUAUUUUAUGUUUCUAAAUUAAAAUAAACUGAAAUAAAUUAUUUUUAAUGAUUGUACAUGAAAUUUAGUUUUUUUAUUAUAUGAUCUCAAGUCUUUCCUACUAAGCUAAAAAUAAAGAAAAAUCUUUACAAUUAAUUUAAUUAAUUAAUUUUAUCUUCCAUGCCAAACAAACUCCAAAAAAAAUUUCAUCACUUCUUUACUAAAACGAAGAACAGACAAUUAAUUUAAUUAAUUGCAAUGAUUUUUCUUUACUUUUAGCUUAGCAUGGAAGAUUUGACAUUAUAUAAUCAAAAGAAAUUUAAGUUUCACAGACAAUUAUUAAAUAUGAGUUAUCGAGUUGAUUUCAUUAAGAAUAAUAUGGAAACAUAAAAUAAAAUUUUUUAUUUUAGAAAGAGACUAAUUUAAUUAAUUUCAAUAUCACAAUGACAAAUCGGUUAAAAUUAUCAAGGGAUAAAAAAUUUUCGACAAUUUAUUUAUUUGGUUUUAUCUUUUGAAAUUAAAAUUUUCAAUAUUGAAAAGAAAAGAAAUUUAGAAUUUUUGACAAUGUGAUAAACAAGUACAAUUUAAUAAUUUUUUAAUACAUUAUUUUAGUUUCUACCGCCUUUUCACUUUAAUCCUCAAUUUUUUUUACCCCAAUCAAAUACUUAAAAAAAUAUUUUUUUUGGGUAACCAAAAUGAAAGCUACCUAGAAGUUGGAUGACCAAAAUGCAAGUGUGAAUAUGAUGUCGUAUGUAUAGUUAAUCACCAUUAGAGAUUUAUCAAUUGGGUGACUAAAAUGAAAAUGCUUUAAAAGUUGGGUAACCAACUAAUCAGUUUACCUUUACUUUAAUCUUUAAUGGUUAUGGUCAAAUUUGAUGACUAUGGUCAAAUUUCAUCUUUAAUCCCUUUACUUUUUUGAGAUUAUACAAGAAUGGUUAAAUUUCAAUUUUGAUCUCUAUAGUUCACUCAAAUUUGAAACUGAAUCUCUAUACUUUAAUUUUGACAUAAUUUGGCACCUCGAUUCUUACAAUGUCAUUAGUUAAUCUAAAUACUUUAUUCUGAUUACAAUGCGUAUGUGAAAUUUUAAGGAUUGUUAACACCAUUAAAAUUCUCUAUUAAAUUCAAGUUCAUUACAGCGUCUUUUUUUUUGUUAUAUGGAUACCAAAUGAGUAUCUUUUUAAUUUCAAAAUGUUACGCUAACAAAUUUAACAAAAGAAUUAUAACAAUGUUAACAAACAAAUUUAAAUUAAGACUAAAUUCCCAAAAAUAAAAAUAUAAAAAUUAAAUUCUAAAUACUCGAAAAAUACUUUAUAAUAUUAUAUCUUUUAAAUUUUCACUUUAUAAUUUAAUUAGAAAAUAAAUAAUUAACCCAAGCGAAGAGAGUAAAACCAUACUAAUACAUACUAAUAAUUAAGAAUUCUCUUAUCAGAAAGAAGAAACACUCUCACUGCUCGGAGCCAGAGGGCAGGGCAGAGACUAUUUUGACCCAAUGAAUAACCAAAAAACUGAAAUAAUAAAAAGAGAACAAUAAUAAGAUAAAACCUUCCACAAGAAUGGAUUUGCCCAUUCGGUGGAGCCUCCAAUUCAUGCGUACUAAUUUGAAUCAAUUCCAAAAGGGAUAUAUAUUCUAAUUUAAACUUUGUAAUUUUGGCAAGAUUUGAUAAUAUAACUAAUGUUACUGGAAUAAGAUUAGAUCGUAUAGACUAAAAACUAAUUGGUAUAAUAAUCUGAACAAAAGGAUUAAACCGGCUAACUCAGAUCCUACUUGAAAUUAGUAAAAAUCAAAAAUUAGAAUAGAAAUCAACACCUGAACUAAUUUAAUAAAUUUCAUUUUUGAAAUUUUUUAUAAAUUUUUUAUUAUUUAUUUAAUUAUUGUUGGUUCGGCAAUUGAAUUGGUCGAACUAGUUGAAUCUGUUUUCGGUGGUUUGACUUGUUCAACCAUUGGUCUGAUUAUUAAAAUACUGAAUAUGACACUCUGAGCUUGUACCAUAUCAUUACUUGAAAGUUUAUAUAAAAUUUUUAAUUUUCAAGUAAUGAUAUGGCACAUUCUUAAAGUGCAACGUCAUCAAACUUUUAUAUUUUUUAAAUUUAGAGAUCAAAAUGAACCUAAUUGUUAAAUUCAAGUGCCAAAAUUGACAAAAAAGUAUAGGUACCAAAAUGAAUCUAGUUACCAAAUUCAGGAAAAAUAUUAUAUUAUCCCAUGACAAAAAUAGACUGUUUUUAAGGAAUCCAAUAACUUUGGUUGCUCCAUGUUAGAAUCUUUGUAGAUAGACCAAACUCUACUAUUUUGAACGAUGAGAAUGUUGGAAAAAUACGGUUUAGAAAAUGUGGUUGUUGCGUAGUGGAAGUUCAAUUUAUUUUUUAAAUUGAGCUUUUGUGAUAUUUACAACAACUAACCCUUUAUUCAAAUUAUACCUAUGUUUUCAGAAUAGGCAGAAUAGGUCAUUCUGAUCUUUCAACUUCUUGAACUUCUUCAUUAAUCUCGACUUUGGGUUGCUAGAGUGUGGGCUUUAUUUGUGAACCAAUUAACACUUGUGAAAACUUUCUAAGACUAAAAACCGAUUAUCUAAUAAAGUUUUUUUUUUACUUUUUAUUUUUUAAAAUCAUUUGAAUUUUAAAUAAUUUAUAUAUAAAUUUUAAUUUAUAAAUAUUUUUUUAUAAUUUUUCUAGAACUUUUACAAUUUUAUAUUUUUUCUAUUCUUAAAAAUUUAAAUUAUUUACUGAUAUAAUAUAAUAAGACAAAAUAGUAUUAAGUCUGUACAGACCCAUUUUGCCCGAGCCCAAACGACCCAAUACCCAAACUCAUUACAAACCCAAAUAACCCAACAAAAUAAAAUCAAGCCCAAAAUGCCCUAGCCCAUUUUCAGAAAAAUUGGCAGCCACCUAACCCUAGGUGCGCCGCACCUAGGGUCUUUGCCCACUGCCACCACCGACUCACUUGCUCCACCUACUCCGCCGCUCCCAUGCCACUUGCACCUGCAAAAAGGAGAAAAGAAGCACAGGCACGCAAACAAAAUAAUAGAAAAAUGUAAAAGCCGAAACACAAUGUAAUAGUUUUUUUAACGGAGAAAUAAAAGAAAGGAGAAGUUAAAAAAGGUUGUUGUUUUCUCUAAUCUUUCUAUUUUAUUUUAUUUUAUUUUUUGUUUAUUAAUCUUUUUUUCCAAAAAAAGGUUUUAAACACUUAAAAAAGGAAAUAAAAAAGAGAAAAGGAGGAGUUUUUUUUACCUUUUUGACGACGCCGGAGUGUUCGGAGGGUCGGAGGGACGAUUCGGCGCAAAAAAGGGAAACUUUUCAGCUUCCCGCCGCCGUGUACGGCGGCGCCGGCGAUCGGCGGCCGAUGGCCGGUUUCUGGGCAAUGCCCGGAUUGGAAGCAGAGAGAGGGAGAAAGGGUUUUCGGGGAUUUUUUGCAGAAGGGGAAGAAAAGCUGAAAUUUUGUUGAAAAAUUUUGGCUUAAAUAGCCUUGUGAAACGACGUCGUUUCACCCAGUCCCCAAACGUCCCAAAACGACGCCGUUUUGUGCUCGACCCGAGAACUGACCCGACCCGCAGGGAGGAUCCGCAUGUUUUUGUUGGAAGGGCUAAUUGAAAGUUUAGCCCUUCCAUUUUUUUAUGUUUUUUAAGUAAGUAUUUUCUAUUUUUUAAUUCGGCCUUAACAUUUGUCGCGUUUUCAUUUGGGCCCUCGUCUGAAUGUCGUUGUUUGGAAAAGAGGGGAAAAUUAUUUGUUUAAUCCCUCUCCGUUACUCGCGUAUUCAGUUUGGUCCUUCACCUUUUAUUUACUAGCGAUUUGACCCCAAAUUUCAGCUUAGUUUCUAAUUUAGUCCUCCAUUUGGCAUUUAGGUUAUUUUAUUAUUGAAUUGAUCAUUUUAAUAUUAUUAUUACUAUUAUAUUAUAUCAUUAUUACUAUUAUUAUUAUUUAUUAUUAUUUACUUAUUUAUAAUUUAUAUACACAUGCAUAUAUUUUUAUAAUAUACAUACAUUAUUUUUACAAUAUAUAUAUACGUAUUUUUUUAUAUUCUAUAAUUUAUACACAUAUCUACAUAUACCUAUAUAUAUAUCUUUAAUUUUCAUAAAUUUAUAUAUAUAUACAUGUUUAUAUAUAUUUUAUUAUAUCUUAUAAAAUAUAUAUUUGCAUAUAAUUAUAUUAUAUAUAUUUCUAUAAUUUAAAUACAUAUCCAUAUAUAUAUAUCAAUACACAUCUCAAUUUCACUAAUAUAUAAAUAUACUUACAUGUUUUUUUUAUCUUACAAUUUUUAUAUACAUAUAUAUAUUACUUUUUUAAUCCUAUUCACUUUCUAUAUUUAUUUCCUUAUUUACAUUUUCAUUAUUAUUUAGGAAGAAUGUUUUAGUUCUAUUUAUUUAUAUAUUUGUUAUUUCGCAUGAUAUUAAUUUGUCCUUUUAUUUUACUUUGUUGUUAUUGUUCGUAUUAUCUAUGUUCACAUUAUUGUAUUCGUUAACAUUUUGUUACGCAUGUUAAUAUCCUUUUAAAAAAAUUUAAAAUAAGGCAAUGUUUUGCGUUUAGAAAGUCGAGAAAACGUGCCCUAAUGUGCUGGGUUUCAAUUUUUGUCGUUCGACCAAAUAGCCAAAUAUCCUUUUAGAAAAUUUCAAAAUAAGUCAAUAUUUUGCAUUUGGAUAUUCGAAAACGUGCUCUAAUGUGCUAGGUUUUGAUUUCUCGUUUGACCAAAUAGCCAAAUAUCUUUUUAAAUCUCAAUCCAUGUCAUUCUAGUUUUUUUAAGGAUCGUACUUUAAAUCUCUUUAAAGUUUUUAAUAUUCGACAUUAAGACAUUAACUAAUCAACUAGGUACCAAUUUUUAGGCGUUACGAGGGUGCUAGUCCUUCUUCGUAUGUAACCGACUUUCGAACCCGUUUUUUCUGAAUUUCAUGGACCAAAAUCGUUGUUUUAAUAAAAUCAAAUCGUUUAUUAAAAACAACCACUUUUCAAGGUGAUCCGAUCACACUUUAUCAAAAAGGAUUGGUGGCGACUCUCAAAUUCGAUUUCAUUUUUCAAAACCCAAAUCGACCCCGUUUUCAUCAAAAAAAUGGUGUCAACAAAGUCAACAUCAUCAUACACAUAACAUGUUAUGUUAACAAAGAAUCAACUGUUACUAAGAAACAUGUCAUCAUGACGGAUAGAACUUAAGGGUCAAUGACAAUUUCCGCUUAUUAAAGAGAUUAAAUGAUAAUUUAUUUAGUUUGAGGAUUCAAUUAAGUGAAAUAAUUAAUUAAAAAUUCAUUUUCGGUACAAACCUUUAAGCCAAUUUAAAUUAUUAAUAUAUAAAUAUAUAACACAAUUAAGUAUAACAUAAAAACAAUAAGAAUAGCAGCAUGCAGUAUCAAAAGGUAAUGAAAAAAAGAAAGAACAAAAAUAAGAAUCCAAUCAAUACCUACAUCCCUUUGGAAGUAAGCAAAGGGAAAAGGAAUCUUUGUUGGAACAAAUAACUUUUGUAAUUUUCCUAAGUGAUGCUAGGAGAUUGAGAUUGGAGUAUGUCUUCAUCUUUUCUUUCUUCUUUCAUACUUCUCAAUUUUCUUCAAAAAGAAAAAGGGAAAAAGAACCUUCAAAAAGUAUACUAAAUUCUGUAAAUUUUUAUUUAUAUACAUUGAAUUUAAUUUAACUUUAAAAUCUUCCCUUAUUUAUUCCAUUUUAAAACGUUUUGAUUAUUAAAUCUAGAUUUUUUACCUUUCUUUAAUAUUAUUAAAUUACGUGUUCCCAAAAGUUAUUUUUAAGAAUAAGUUCUUUCUCAAGGAUUACCUCAAUAUUCGUAGGUAUCAAGUUCCUUUGAAGUUUAUUUACUUAUAAGUUUUCAGCUCCACGUUGAAAUUAGGAUAAUUAUUUUUAUAUGAUUACAAAAAUUUGACACUUACAAGUAUUGAGAUUCUUGUACAACAUUCAACUUUUAAAUUGUCAUAAUUUAAUUUUCUAAUGAGGGCAAAUAAUUAAUAAAGGUCCCUUUAUUUUUUAAAUUACCGAAAUGGGCCAGGUCCUGAAUUAAUUACCAAAAUAGACCAUUUCUCUCAAAAACGCGUCCACGUCAGCGCGUUGUCAGGGGAUAAAGCAAAAAAACGCUUCCUCAAGGAAGUGCUUUGUCCACGUGAACAAAAAUCGCUUCCUUGAGGGCGAGCUUUGUGUCCACGUGGACAAAGCAUUUCCUUGAGGAAGUACUUUCCCCGUUUUUAGGAUUUAGGGUUUUUUUUUGCAAUUAGAGUUAGGGUUUUAGGGUUUUUUGAGUUUUUUGAUUUUAGGGUUUUAAAGAAGCGCUUUGUCCACGUGGACACAAAGCGCGCCCUCAAGGAAGUGUUUUUUGCCCACGUGGACAAAGUGCUUCCUUGAGGAAGCGUUUUCCUGCUUUAUCCCCUGACAACGCGCUGACGUGGACGCGUUUUUAGGGGAAAUGGUCCAUUUCGGUAAUUAAUUCAGGACCUGACCCAUUUCGGUAAUUUUAAAAAUAAAGGGGCUUUUAUUGGUUAUUUGCCCUUCUAAUGACUAUGGAUAACAUUUAAUCUGAAACCCAAUACCAUCAAAUGUCGAGUUUGUUAUGAAAAUUCAAAACAAACGUACAAUGUAAUAUGAAAAAAAUUUAACAAAAAAUUAGAUUAACCUUGUCACGCAUAACUGUUGAGGUUUUAUUAAAAACCUAACAUAACUCUAAUUUAAAAGAACCAACACAAAUCCUCUUUUACUUCUACUCUAGUCUAAGUACAUAAGUAUCUCAAAAUUCUAAUUUCCAAGCAUACCGUAAUAAAUGCCCGUUUAUUAAGAUAUGAACAAGGACAUUUUGUCGAGAACACAACAAUAUUGGAAUAUUCUCUCGUGGCUCAAAUUGGUGGUAACAUGGGUUUAGACUUUACUUGACGAUAGAUCCAUUCUUAGUUAAUGCAAGUCGGUUUUUAUCAUGCUAGCCGAAUUGAGAAAGUUACUUUUGUGCCAUCAUUCAUAUAUGCACUAAUUGAAUUAUAGAGAUUUGAGACCCAUAUGUUUCAUCUCUCAUGCGGCGUAGCAAUAAUAACACUACAAGAUAUAACAUUGUUGACCAAUGGACAAACAUCUUAUAAUGGGAAGUUUUUAGUACAAUUUAAGGCAGAUCUUUUAUCCAGCGUUUGGAACAGAUAUUGACCUUAAGUUCAAUUUCCAAAGGCUUCAAAUUAAGUUAAAAUGGUUGAUGACCUUCAAGCAUCUCCCACAGAAUCUACACUCGGUGAUAUUGGCCGUUCUUAAGUUGAUCGAAGGUACAUUGAUGCCAAAAAAGUCUAGUAACUUAGUUUAUAUCAUGUACCUCCUUUAUUAUCAAAUUUCAAUUAGCUAGUAUAUACAAUUAGGGGUCUAACGUCUUAGCAUACCUUUAUAGGGCGCUAUACAAGGCAUGUAGAGUGGGGAAUGAGUAAGUAAAUGAUCACAUUGUGAUUUUACAAUUGCGGGGAUGGUAUUGACUUUCGUGGGUUACAUCUAUACCUUCUCAAGCUUUCAAUUUCCCUUUUGGUAGAAGGUAAAGUCAAGGUGGCAAACAAGCAAGUUCAAGCAGGCUUGGAUCAGGUCGUUUUCAGAUUCAAAUUGUUUCUCAAGCUCAAGCUUUCUUGGGCCAUUUUUUUUUAGGCUCGAGCCCUUUCGAAUUUGAGUUUAUCUAGCAAGCAUCCAAGAUUUGGCGUAUCGAUCCAUCUCCUCCACAAUUGCAUGUAGUGGAAGGGUUGGUUUGACAAGCCUUUCCAACCAUAUGCAUUUCACACUAUUGCCAUCUAAUUCAUUAUUGUCCUUAUUCUUAGACGAGAUGACACCCAAAAAUUGACGGCACUUGUACUUUGUGUUGACGUUAGUAGUUCUGAUUAUUGCAUAUCUAUCGAUAGGAAGGUUGAUUAUUAAAGUGAUAUCCUCUAGCAUUAUAGUCACUUCCUUACAUGGAAAAUAGAUGUGUUUUCGACUUCCAUCUUUCCUACAAGGCGACAAGUAACUUAGGUAUUUUUGUAAAUUUCGUCAUUGUAAAUGUUACAUAUAAAUUAAUCGUUUUCAAGCACUCUUUGGCAGUGCAUCUUCCUCUAGGAAUUUCAAACUAUCCUAAGCACGAACAACUUAACCGCUUCGAUGUUCAAAAUUCAUAAAAAUAAUAUUUAAUUUCAUAAAAUCUUAAAAAUGUUUUCACAAAAAUAACAAAACUAAAAACAAUUUAGUUGGAACUUUUACAUUGAUGGCAUGGUUUGCUAUGUGUUGUUCCUAAAAUCUUAAUAUAAUCAUUUUUCUCCAAAAACACAAAUUUUUUUUUGGGAUAAUUUAAUAGGAUUUUGGUUGAGAAAAAAAAGAAAAAAAAUGGGUGAGUACUUACGAAGUAAAGUAAAGUAUUAUAGUUGUCAACUUUCAUUUAUUAAAUAAGUUUUUUGAGACAACAAAUAAAUAAAGUAUCUGGUCAAAUUUCACAAUCCUAAACUCACAUCUAUAGAAGUCAAGGUCUAUCAACUGCAUUUGUAGUACCUUCCUCUUUAUAGUUACAUACUGUCGUGAUGAUUUGAACUUUAUACCUUUGAAUCUUAAAAAUAUAAAAUAACUUUUGAAAACACACAUAAAUAAUAUUAAAAAAAGUACUAUAUUUGGGUUAAAACUCAAAUAUUGUGUAUAGAAGAAAAAUAAGGCAUUGUUUAGUGGUAGCAUAACUGGUAUGGAUAAAAAACAAUAAUGGCAACUUGAGUAAACCUAGCUAGGCCUCUUUCUUCUCUCUCAUCUAAGCAUGUUUUCAUGAUUGAAACUUGGAAGUGAGGUUAAUUAGAUUCUAUAAUUGUUUAAUAUAGAAUAUAUUGUUAAUAAAAUACUAAGUUAAAUAUUUCACAAAAAUUUUAAAAAGUUUAAAAUUCUCUAUAUUCAUAAGCUUCAACUACAACUUGUUUCUACACUCAAAAAUAAGGAGGAAAAGAAAACAGAAACAAGACAACUGACGACAAAGCUUCUUUUCCAUGAAGUAGAUAUACUGUCGAGAAUGUUAAUGACUUAAUGACAUACUAAGAGUAAUUAGAUGUCAAUUAUGGUGAAAAUUUUAAUGGUGUAAACCCCAUACCAACUUAAAUUUAUUUUUUAAUCCUCAAAUUACUUUGGAUAAUCAACUAUGAGAAUAAAUUUUAAUGAUAUGUGGGGAUCACUGUCUUUUUCUUUUGAUUUUCUCUUACUUGAAAAUUGAAUAAAAAUUCAAAUUUGUAUAUAAUUUUUUUUUUAUUUUAAAACUUUUUAGCAUUUAAAAUUACUUUUGAAAACCUCUAAAGCUCUACCUUUGUUAGUGAUCUUUUAAGGGUAUAUAAAUAUUGUUUUGAUUUUUUACUUUUUAAACUUUUAGCAUUUAAAAUUAUUUUUUAAAGUUAUACCACAUUUUAGUAGUUUCUUAAGCAGUUGGAUCCCUUGGCAGCUAACAAAGUUAGUUUUUUAAGGUUGUAUUUUUAUUAUAGGCUUAAAUUUUAAAUUGGUAUUUAAAUUAUACCAUUUUUUAUUUUAAUAUUUAAAAUUUUUUUAUCACAAAAUAGUGCCUAAACCACGUUUUUUCCCCAAAUUGGUAUUCUUAUUUGUCAAACCGUUAAAUAUAUUUUAAAAGAAGAUUAACCCACAAAUUUGUACGUACAUUAUGUAUUUUUUUUUAUUUUGAUACCUAAAUAUUUUUUUGUCACAAGUGAUACCUAAACUAUUUUUUUCUAAGUUGAUAUUUUUGUUAGUUCAAUUGUUAGUUUAACCAUUAAGUCUACUUAAAAAAAUUAAUUAAAAAUUGACAUGUGGUAAAAAAGACAAAUUGUUAUUUUUUUCUUAUAUGUUUUCUUUUUCUUAUUUCUUUUUUCAGAUCUAGAUCGUUGGUUGAACCAAUCAAACCAUUAGUUCUCGAUUUGAUCAAUUCAUCCGGUUCGAUUAAAUAAAUUAUUAAAAAUUCAUAAAAAUAAAAAUUCAAAAUAGAAAAAAAAUCAGUUCAAUUGGUUUUCUUAGCUUUGUUCAAUCAGUCUAUAUCUAUUCACAGCUUAAUCGCUUCAACCCCUAUCUUCGGACCAAUACCCCGACCAUUUCUAGGUACAGUUUUGGAGACACUGUGAUCAAUGAAAUAACUUUUUCAACCUUGUUAGGUAGAACAAGCGAGCGAUUAUGUUCAAAAAUAAAAUUAAUCGCCAACCUCUCUCAACCUCUGAAAGGAAAAUUUCGAGCAUUGCUAUUAUUGUCAAUUCGAUCAUUGGUUCAAUUCUAAAAAUAUUGAUCUCAAUAUAAAUUAUUAGUUUAUUAUAUAUUAAGUAAAUUUUUAUUAUAAUGAAAUAUUUUAGUUAAAUUUUCAGUAAAAUAUUUGUUAUUGUUACCUGUUAGUGUAAAAAUUAUAAAAAAAUUAUUAUAUAAAAUCAAAUGUGUUAAAUAAUUAUGUUAUAAAAAUAACAUAUUAAAAUUUAAUUGUUUUUAUUCUUAAAAUAAUUAAAUAGAGAAACUUGAUUUUUAAAAGUUUGAAAAAAAAAAAGACUAACAAAGGCUAGUUCUUCAUUGUUUUUGAAAAGUACUUUUGAAAAGUGUUGUGGAAAAGUUCUUUUGAAAAAUUUGAGUAUUUAGUAUUACUGUCAAAAAAGUACUUUUGAAGAAUAAAAUGUCCAUUUUCGACAUGAUAUUAUAAAGUAACAAAUAUGUAUUUAAAUAAUGUUCAAAUUAGUUAAUAUUAUGAUAUUUUAGCAAAAAUAUAAAAAUAAUUUAUUAUAACUUAUUGUUAAUAUUUUAAUAUAUAAUAUUAAUUUUAAAUAUUUAUAAGUAAUUAAUAUUAAUUAUUUAUUAAAUUUAAUUAGAAUAUAUAAACUAUAUUUAAAUAUUUAAAUAUAAUAAUUAAAUAUUUGUAAUUAGAUAUUGACACAAUUGUAUUAUUUUAAAAAUUAUUUUUUUAUUUUUAAUUAAUGCUUUUAACACAUUUGUAUUAUUUUAUUUUAAAAUGUAUUUGAAUAUAUAACUCAUAUUAGAUAUUAACAUAACAUAGAAAACAUAAACCUAACAAAUUAAAAUAUUACAUAUAUUUGGAUUAAAGUUUUAAAAAGGGAUAAUAUUUAUAUAACAAAUAUAAAUACUAAAAAUUUUACAAUAGCAUUUACAAUUUAAAGUGAAUACAUUAAACUAGAAGCUAUAACAUCUCUUGUUAAUUCCAUUUCAAAACCACUUGAAUUGUUUGAUUCACCGUCAUCAUCACCAUCAUCAUCGUCGUUGUCAUCAUCAUCACUUUCUCGACCAUGCGUAUUUUCUGAAUCAAUAAUAUUCUCAUGGUUUAAUCCUAAAACAUGCAUAUAGGAUUGCUAAAUGGAUCUUGUUUUGGGCGGGGAGAGUACAUAGUGCAACAAUAUCACUACAUAAAAAACAAUUAGAAAAAUAAGGAAAUACUUACAAACCUAAUUGUUCAACAACUGUUAAGAAAUGACCCCAACAAGUAUACCGCUACGGAACAAGACCGAAUCUAUUCCCAUGUAUAUCAAGCAAUGCAACUACUAGCACUAGAAGUUGUGUAACCAAAAAAUAGAUCACAGUGGGAGAUCUCUAAGACUGGAUUCUGCAAAAGCAUAGCCAAAGGGACAAACUGUCAAAAUAUGCAGAGACUGAAGGAAAGAAUUAAAGAAAACAAAAUAUAUCCUCACAUCAUAAAACCAAUUAGCUUGAGCCACCAAGCAUCUCCUACACUUUGUUUAUAGCCUCCAACAGCCCAUAUAACAAGAUAUGCAACUUGUGAAAGAAAAACAAGUAGGGAAAAGAUGAUAACAGGCCACAGUAACAAAUAUUUCCUCCUAAAACGAAAUCCUACAAGAAAGUAAUCCCAUGUUACUUUAUAAGAAAUGAAAACAACUUCAAAUAAAACCAUUAACAUACAAUAAUCAGAAAAAGAAAUUAAACUUAUAAAGAAUGCAAGAAGUCAAGAAAUAUCAUAAACCCCUCUUCUAAUUUUCUUAUAGACUUGGGGUUAUGUAACAUUAAAGAUUGCUGAAUUCCACAAUAAGCACUUAGCAAAGUUCAUUAGAUACGUCCAGCAAAAUCUAAAGCACCAACGAGAUAAAAGUCGUAAGAAAAAACAAUGAACAAACAACUGAGACCCUGCUGAAUUAUGGAAAAUUGGAACUACAAAACUACAAAGAUAAAGCAAAACAUUACCAGAAAAUCUUCAUCACUUACCUAUUUUAGGUGCAGUAUACUGAAUGAGAAGGAAAGCGAUCAAAUCAACAAGAGAGAUCAAACUCCACUUGAGCAAUGAAGCUUCAAGAAAGACAGAACAGGUAAAAACUAUUAAUUAAUUGAUGACAGAGCAUAUAUGUAUUUGUAUAUGCAUACACACGACAAAAAAAUGCAGUUUCAAACAGUAACUCAUAAAAGAAAUAAAUGAUCUCAACAUCAGUAGAGAAUUUUUCUUGUUGGGAGUCUUCUAUGUAGAGCAUUCUGUAAGUUAUCCAUUUACAGGUCUCUCAACUUAUAAAAUUUAAAAUUAACACUCUAUGGCACUCUACUAAAACCGUGCCUCGAAGCUCAUUAACAAACCAACCUCCCCCUCACCAAAAAGAAUACCAAUGAAGUUUUCACUUUUCAAGUGACUUUUAACUGCAAAAUCCCUUCUACCCUUCUUACCUUAUCAGGUUCCAAAAUAACAAAGACUGGAUGAUGUCCUGUGUCACAAGCUAAUUUUAAACUAGGUUCAGGUACCCAGAAAUUAGAUUUUUACAGUCUCAAAAACUUGAAACUUACAAUUGAUACUGGUCUAGUUCAAAGAAUGACCCCUUAAAGUGAAUUUUCCAAACAAUAUAUGAAAAGAACAGAAGGUUGCAUAUAAAUGCAAAGGCUAGUGUUCCCAUUAUGAACUCAUGAGCAACAGACAAAAUCCUUACUCUUAGACAACAGUUUGGAUAAUAAUAAAAAGGGUCAUUUAGACUCUCCUCAACUUCCUAAGACACUCCCUUAUGGAAUUCAGACUUGGUUAUUUCUCUAUGGGACAUAGCAUAGCUCAAAUUAUACUGAUAAACACGAGCACUCUAAGACAUAGCUCAAACAAUGAUUUUAAGGAGAAAGAAUUUCUGUAAAAUAAGUCAAUUAAUUUCUAUAAAAUUUCUGUAAAAAUCAAACCAUCAAAAAACAACUAAAAACUACUAAAGCAUAAUGAAUAAUUAAAGAGAAGAAGAAGAAAAGAAACUCACCGGCGGAAGAGGAACAAAGAACCAGAGAAAAGAACUUUGAAAGAGAAAAUGUGAAAAAAAAGGGUAUAGCCAAAGAACCAGAGGAAAGAAUGUUUUUUGGGAGAAGACAAGUUAAAAAUGGAAAUUAUCAGCCAAAAGCACUUUUGGCUGAAGAAAAAUUAAAAUUUUCAACUUUUCCAUCUGCCAAAAAAUACUUUUUUUAAGCUGAAAAUUAUUCUGAAAUAAUGUUUGUUCUUUAUUACUUUUAAGGGAAAAUGAUUUUUCUUGCAAAAGUCUAUCUGAAAAGCAAAGGAGAACGGAGCCUUAGAAGACUAACAAGUCAAGAAAAAAAAAAAGUAAAGAGUUCAAUUUAUAUAGCGGAAGCGAUUGUGCCAAAGAAGCUACAAAAAAAUAACAGAAAGAGCGCUCGCAAAGUGUUUGAGUAAAUACUCUCAAUUCUUAUUCACAAAGAAUAAUGAAAUAAUUCAGGAUUGAGUACAAAUGAGGGGAGGCUCUCUAUUUAUAGUUGAGCUCCCCCAAAACCGACGGUUAAGAUACAAAUACAUCGACGGACGAGAUUAACCAUAUUCCUUUAUUUUAGGAAUUUACAAGAUAUGCCAUAUCAAAUCUAACUAAAUGAAAAAAAAAAGAAAAAUAAAGCAUACGAUAAUUUAGGUCUGGGGCUUGAUUUAGGUUCCAUGUCAUAGUUGCAGUUAAUUAUUUAGGUUAAAAAUUCAUUUUCCAAUAGUGGAUUAUUGAUUGAGUAAGUAACAGUAUUGAGUUGACAUAAUUAAUAAAUUAACUUUAUUUUCAUAAGUUUAAUGGUUCAAAUAAUUUGGAAUCGCAAUAAAAUUACACCACUAAAUUUCUCACGAUAAUUACCACCAAUAUAAUUGUAUCGGAAAAAAAAAUUACUGUUGCAUUUUAUAAAUUGUUUAUGUAUAAUUUUAUAAAGUACUGCUUCACUAAUAAAUAAAUAAAUAAAUAGAAAAUUUAAACUAAAUACAAAUAAUUUUCAUCAGUGAUGUGAGAUAACAUAUGAUUUAUUCACAAUGCACAGAUGCAUUGAAUAUAAAUAUUUAAUAUUUAUAUUUUAUCAAUUCUAUCUAUAAAUAUAAACAUAGUAGAAAUAACUUUUCACCCAAUCCAAAUAUUUGGUUUCAACAAAUUGGUAGUUACUCACUUCUUCAUUGAUAUGAGAGUUCAACCACAUUCAGUUCAUUUUUAUAUGAAUAACUUAAAAAUAUUAUUUAAUUAUAAAAAUAAUUUGGGAGAAAAAUUAUGUAUGAAAAUGACUUGUUUGUUAUAGCAGUAAUUAGUGCUGUUUGACCAAUUGGCGGCACUAUCCCUUUUUUCCCCCUAAUCAUGACCCAAUCAUUACUUUUUUUUUAAAUUCCUCUUGCUCCCGCCAUUGUGUUAAACAACAUCCGUAUGUAUUUUUUGAAAUAACCGUGAAAAGUUUGGUUAUUCAUAGUGGAGAAAAAAAUGAAACAAAAAAUUUAAUGGGUCUUGCCAGUCUGGCAGGGGCAUCAGUCCAAAAUUUUUUUUUUAAAUUUUUGUCAAUUCGUCGGUGUAUCAAGCGGCACCAACGGUAAGUUGCCAAGGAAAUUCUUUUUAAAUGUGUGCCGCCAGUGUGUCAAGUGACACCAUUCAAAAUAUAUAACCCCAUACCGGCCAAAAAAUGGUAUCUGUUGAAUGUUUUGGUUUUUAUUGAAUUUUCGAUAUCCGUUUAAAAGAGAAAGAAAAAAAAAAAGAAAAGGGAAGAUUUGUGUUUAGUAGGAGUAUUAGAAUAUAGGAAGUUGUUAAUUAGUUAUGAGUCUAGUAAGGUUGUUGAGAAGUUUAGACUAGUCAACAAAGUCUAUAAAUACUAUAAGUUGAGAAUUCAGAAGUAAGCAAUUUUGAAUACAAGAGAAAGAAAUUCAUUUUAUCCUCUCGUUUAUUUCUGUUUGGCUAGUUCUUUCAUGGUAUCAAUCGCCAUUUGAUUCUGGAUCUUGUCUAUCAUGGCUUCCGCUGAUUUCGUAACUGGUGAGUCUAGCUCUGCAGUAUUCUCCGGCGAUCGCGUCACGACCGGUCUUCCUCGGCAUGAAGUGGUUAAGCUUGAUGAAGGCACCUAUAUUCAAUGGCGCAAAUAGAUCAAAUUAAUAGUGGAUGGAUAUGGACUUACAGGAUUCUUAGAUGGCACCGUUGUUCCACCGUCGCGGUUUAUGCCUCUGCCCGAUGGUUCGCGUGCUCCAAAUCUGGUAGCACAGGUGUUCCUACAGCAAGAUAGGCUUCUGACUUCAUGGUUGUUAUCAACUGUAAGUACAUCUCUUCAAUCGUCAUUUGAUGAUGCAUCCACGGCGUGUGAUAUGUGGAACAUGGCGAUAAAUUUGUUUGCGACUGACACUGGUGCAUAGCAGUCACGCAUUCGGCAUGAGCUUCAUUCUUUGAAGAAAGGUAACCUUUCCAUUAAAGCUUAUGUUGCUAAAAUUAAAGAUCUGUGUGCUAUGUUAGAUGCCUCUGGUUCUCGUCUCUCUGAUGAAGAGAAGAUUGAGGUGAUACUCGCGGGAUUACUGUCAGAGUUUGAGGCGGUUAUCUCCUCCGCUAGGCUGUCGACAGGUGUUCUGUCGUUACAACGUGUGGUCGAUGCUCUAGUUGAUUGUGAGAGCCGUCAAGCUCAGGUGUUGCAGGAGGUAAGUUUGAAUGCAAAUCUGGUUGAGGAUGCGCCGUCGGUUGAAGGAGGAAAUCGUGGCGGCCGUACGUCUGUUCGUGGCCGUGGCAGGACCUUCCGAUCUCGCAUUCAAUGCCAGAUCUGUAGUCGUUUUGGUCAUGUAGCUCAGAAGUGCUACUAUCGUUAUCAUAAAGAGUCGAAUAAUCAAGGGGAUCCGUCGGGUGUUGAGAGAGCCGCAUUUGGACCAUGUGCGCAAGAAGAAGAUGAGCAGUAUGUGGCUCCUUAUCCCAAAAGCCAAAGAACAAUUUAUGGACAAGGGAACUAUGCAAGUCAAAAUAGGAAUGGUGGUCAAAAUUGGAGUGCUAGCAUGCAGAGUGAAAAAUUAGCACGUAGGCCACAGGUGUCAUAUCCAAAUGAGUAUGGCCGGCCAUAUGGAAACCAUUUUAAGCCAAAUUUGCGUUAGUUUGGACAUGAUAAUGGGCCUGGUUUUAAUGGCGAUGGGAAUAAUGGAAAUGCCUCAUUGAAUUUUAUUGCUGGAAAUGGACGGUGUGGGUUGCAAGGGCCGAAUGUGGUAAAUUCCACUCAUGGGCCGAAUAUUGACCCAAAUGCAAAUGGGGUUCCGUCGUCUAAUUUUGUUCAAGUUGAUCAAAGUGAUCCCGGCUCACCUGAACCGUUUGGCGUUGAUAGAGUUUUACGAUUUACCAAACCGUGUGCUCGGGUUUGUACUGGGUUCGAACCAUGUAUUGGGCUUCCUCGGCUAGGGGACUUACAUGCAUCUGAUUAUUCUGAUCCUUCAGAAUCUGGCUCUCAUGUCAAUACUGCUCAACUUGGGUUUGGUACUAGUAAAGAUGACCCAUACGUUCCCGUGCAAGGUGGCACCACAACUUGGUAUCCUGACUCGGGAGCUAGUCAUCAUGUCUGUCGUGAUGUGUCAGCUUUACGUGAUGUCACGCCAUAUUCAGGUACGUCAUCUCUUUUAAUGGCUGAUGGUACUCCUGCGGUAAUUUCGUCAAUUGGUACUGCUAUUUUACAUACUCAAUAUAAGUCGUUGCGAUUAUCAAAUGUCUUAUGUGUGCCAAGUAUACGGAAAAACCUCUUAUCCAUCUCACAGUUUGCUCGUGAUAAUGGUGUGUUUUUUGAGUUUCAUCCUAACCAUUGUGUUAUUAAGGAUACGAUGACUCGGGAGACAUUGCUGACGGGCCGCAUUCAUGAUGGACUUUAUCACUUUUCUGUGCCAGUGGGUUCUACUCCGUCUACGGUUGCUCCAUUUGUUGCUCAUUCGCAAGUUCUACAUGUAGUUUCAAAUAAUAAUGUGUUUGCUUUAUGGCAUAAUCGUUUAGGCCACCCAUCAACUUCUGUGGUCAAAAUAGUUUUAAAUAAAUGUAAUGUUGCUUCAAGUAAAAAUAGUUUGGAUGGUAUAUGUACUGCAUGUCAAAAAGGCAGGUCACAUAAGUUGCCCUUCUCCCAUUCGACUACUAGCUACCGUCCUUUUGAGUUGGUUGUUUCUGAUCUUUGGGGUCCUGCACCUGUUGCAUGUGGUGAUAAAAGAUAUUAUGUUUCGUUUAUUGAUAUGUGUACUCGGUUUACUUGGGUUUAUCCUUUACGUCAAAAAGCUCAAGCAGUAGAAUGCUUUACUCAGUUUCAAUAGUUAAUUAAGACACAGUUUGGCAAGUCUAUUAAGCAGUUCCAGAGUGAUUGGGGAGGCGAAUACCGUGGUUUUACGUCUGUCUUAGAAUCUCAAGGAAUCAUACAUCGACUAACGUGUCCGUAUACUUCAGAACAAAAUGGAGUGGCUGAGCGUAAGCAUCGCCACAUUGUUGAAGUGGGUAUUACAUUGUUGGCUCACGCAAGUUUUCCUCUGGAAUACUGGGGGUAUGCGUUUUGCUGUGCAGUUCAUCUUAUAAAUCGACUUCCUACUGUUGUACUUCAAGACAGUUCUCCGUUUAAGGCACUAUAUGGACAUGAUCCGACCUAUGAUCAUCUUUGAGUGUUUGGCUGCUGUUGUUAUCCUUACUUACGUCCGUUUGUAAGGAAUAAAUUGGACUUUCGGUCUCAGCCGUCUACAUUGUUGGGAUACAGUCCUCGUCACAAGGGAUAUCAAUGUUUUUUACCAGAUGGUAAGGUUAUAAUAUCAAGGCAUGUGGUAUUUGAUGAACAGAGAUUUCUGUUUGCUGAGACUAUUCCAGACAAGUCUAUGUUGACGACCACUCAGACUAGUGCGACUGCUGUUCCUCUCAUGUGGCCGUCUUAUUCCUCAACUCUUGAGCCUUGCAUGAUGACACAGUCUUUACAAGGGUUGCAAUCUCCGUCUGCUGAUCCUGCAUUAGGUGUUAAUUUAAAGCAGUCUCAGUCUCGUGAUUCUUCAGCUGAUGUCGGGACUGGGUCGGGUAAUCUCCCAGUUCAUGGUUCGUCAGCUAAUGAUGGGACUGAAUUGAGUGAUCCUCUAGCAGUGCAUGGCUCGGGAUCAUCAAGUGAUAAUUCUCAUUCUACUAUGAGAAUGUCUGCAAGUGUUUCAUCGGCAUUUGAUAGUCAGAUUAGUAGGCCACCUAUGGGUAAUACUCACCCAAUGGUCACUCGAGCUAAAGCGGGGGUUUACAAGCCUAAGGUUUUAAAUGUUGAAGCUGUUGAACCGACUACGAUUGAAGAAGCUCUGGCUAUUGUUGAGUGGCGCGAUGCUGCGCAAGCUGAGUAUGAUGCUCUUAUGCGUAAUUCCACAUGGGAGCUUGUUCCCACUCCGUCUAAUCGUAAGAUCAUUGGGUGCAAAUGGUUGUUCAGAAUCAAGAAGAAUUCUGAUGGUACUAUUGCUCGACAUAAGGCUCAUUUAGUCGCGAAAGGAUGCUCCCAAGUUCCAGGUUGUGACUUUAAGGAAACGUUUAGUCCAGUGGUCAAACCGGCUACUAUCAGAGUUAUUUUCUCUAUUGCUGUGUCUAAGGGGUGGUUGCUUCGGCAAGUUGAUGUGAAUAAUACGUUUCUAAAUGGCGAUCUGGACACUGAAGUUUUUAUGCAUCAACCUCCUGGUUAUGUUCAAUAUGACUCACAUGGUAGACCUUUGGUGUGUCGUCUGAAGAAAGCGUUGUAUGGUCUUCGUCAGGCUCCUCGUGCCUGGUUUGAAAAGUUAAAAGGAUUUCUACUCUCUGUGGGGUUUGUGGUAUCAAAGUCUGAUGCUUCUUUGUUUGUUCGAGUGGUAUCAGCUUCAACAUUGUAUGUUCUGGUAUACGUUGAUGAUAUCAUUAUUACUGGUGAUGUGCCUUCUGUUAUAGAGUGGUUUGUUAAGUUGCUGAAUAAUAAGUUCUCACUUAAGGACAUGGGUGAUCUCCAUUAUUUUCUUGGGAUAGAGGUUACUCGUUCUUCCUCCGGUUGUCUUCAUCUAUGUCAGAAGAAGUAUAUUCAUGAUAUUCUCAUAAGGUGCUCGAUGGAAAAUGCGAAGAGUGUUCACACUCCGAUGAUUAGUUCCUCUAUCUUAACUAGAGAUGGUGGGGAACGUUUGGAGGAUCCAACUGAAUAUAGGAGUCUUGUAGGAGCAUUACAGUAUGUUACUCUUACGCGGCCUGAUGUUGCGUAUGCUGUAAAUCGAAUAUGUCAGUUUAUGCAUUGUCCCACUUCCAUACAUAUGACCGCUCUGAAGCGGAUUUUGAGGUAUCUAGGUGGAACGAUUGAUUUUGGGAUUGUAUUUCGUCCGUCUACCUGUUUGUCAUUAGUUGGAUAUGCUGAUGCAAACUGGGGUUUAGAUUUUGAUGACCGGAGAUCUACUACUGGAUACUGUGUGUAUUUUGGACAUUCUCUUGUCUCGUGGUGUACGAAAAAACAGCAGGUUGUUGCUCGGUCUACUGCUGAGGCAGAGUACCGAAGUCUUGCUGCAGUUACUAGUGAGGUUACGUGGCUUUUAUCGUUACUUCAAAAGUUGCAUGUUCAGUCUACUAGCAUUCCUGAUAUUUGGUGUGAUAGUUCUGGGGCGGUUGCAGUUGCUGCUAAUCCUGUUCUUCAUUCCAAGUUUAAGCACGUUGAGUUAGAUUUAUUUUUCGUUCGUGAAAAAGUAGCUAAUGGUAUUAUUGCUGUUGGCGAGGUUCCAGCUUGUGAUCAAGUUGCUGAUGUUCUUACUAAACCGCUUUCACUUUCGAAUUUUACUCGAUUUCAGAGUUUUCUACAGGUGUUACCUGUGGAGAAGAUGGAUGAAUAUUAGAAUAUAGGAAGUUGUUAAUUAGUUAUGAGUCUGGUAAGGUUGUUGAGAAGUUUAGACUAGUCAACAAAGUCUAUAAAUACUGUAAGUUGAGAAUUCAGAAGUAAGCAAUUUUGAAUACAAGAGAAAGAAAUUCAUUUUAUCCUCUCGUUUAUUUCUGUUUGGCUAGUUCUUUCAAGGAGGGUAGAAAACAAUGAAAAAGAAGAAAGAUUUGUAUUUUUAAUUUUAAAAAUCAAGCUCGUGUUUAUAAGGUUAGUUUCUAGUUAUUUUGUAUGAAAUUAUUAUUUUUUAAUAGGAGCUACUAUUUUUUUUCAUUUUUAAUUUAUUUUACAGAUAUUGUAUUGAAAAUGAAUAACCAACUCUUCAUAUACGUUCAAUUCAAGAUUAUUUUACAAAUACUGGAUGGUUAUAUUUUUUAAUCUUGCCAACAAAUGGGAAUGAGGUUUAGUAAGAUGCAAAAGUUGAAGAUAUGAAACAAAAUAUAUUAGUGCAAAAAUAACUCGACAUUGUGGGAAGAGGAUGUUCAGACUAUUUUACAAAUUUAUAGUUUCGUCAAAUCAUAUCAAAUUUAUCGAGAUGAAACUUGUAGAUGAUGAAGAUGUUAAAACAAUGGUUGCAUUUUGUUACUCGACAGGGAACGUAAACGCUGAACCAAUAUUUUAAUCAUUUAAUUUUAUUAUUUUAAUCAAAAUUUUAUUAAAUUUUUAUAUAAAUUUUAAUAAUAUAUGUUUUACAUAAUUUUCUUAAUUAAUUAUUAUAUUUAUUUUUGUGGGAUUACAUAAAAAAUAGUAUAUUAAAUCUAAAAAAAUAAUCUUAAAACACUUCCAUAUCUUUUUCUCGUUUUCACUCCAUUCUUCUAACUCGCGUUUCUUCUACUACAAAGCCUUCUCCACCACGACCACCACCAUAUCCACUUUCGCCUCAACUUUUUCUAUCCCGAGGUAGGGUCCCACCGUCGAAUAGAAAUCUCGUCUUCCUCAAGUCUCUUUCUCAUAAAUACCUCUUCUUCUUCACCCAACUACCCCCUCCUCUUCUCCUCCUUUAACUUCCCUGUAAGAACUCACUCAAAACCACAUUAAACCAACCAACUAUUCCUUAUUUCUUCUUCUCUUUCAUUUUUUUUUCAAAACCCACAUUUUUAUUCUCAAGAAAAAAAAGAACAGAGAAAAGGGAAACUGAGCUGCUUUUAAUUGAUCAUGAACAAUUUUCUUCUCUUUACUCUCUUCUUCCUAUUCUGAAACCUAAACCCUAUCAUUUCACUUUCCCCUAACGGUCUUUCUCUCCUCUCUUUAAAAUCAGCCGUCGACCUACCCGCCGGUCACGACUCACCUUUCACCGACUGGAACAAAAACGACGCCACACCCUGCCGUUAGUCUGACAUUUCCUGCAUAAACAUUACAGGCUUCCCCGACCCACGUGUUGUCGGGAUCGCCGUUUCCGGUAAGAAUCUCAGGGGUUAUAUUCCGUCAGAGCUUGGAACAUUAAUUUACCUCCGAAGUUUGAAUCUUCACAAUAAUAACUUUUACGGUUCCAUACUGGGCCAGCUGUUCAACGAAACGUUGCUUCACAGCUUGUUUUUGUACGGUAACGAUCUUUCCGGUUCGUUGCCUCCAUUGAUUUGCAAUCUUCCGAUGUUACAAAACCUUGACCUCUCCAACAACUCGCUGUCGGGUUCUUUGCCUGAGAAUCUUAAGAAUUGCAAACAGUUACAGAGGUUGAUCCUAGCUCAAAACAAGUUCUCGGGUCAAAUUCCCGGUGGGAUUUGGCCAAAAACGAAAAACUUAGUUCAGCUCGAUCUUUCCUCCAAUAAAUUUAAUGGGUCGAUUCCCAUACCAUCAGGGAGUUAAAUUCAUUGUCGACGACUCUCAAUUUGUCUUACAAUCACUUGUCUGGUAAGCUCUCGAAAACAUUAGGUGACUUGCCGGUUACUGUCAGCUUUGAUCUCAGAAACAAUAAUUUAAGCAGUGAAAUACCAAAAACUGGAUCGUUUGCUAACCAGGGACUAACGACAUUUCUAAACAAUCCUCUUUUAUAUGGGUUUCCUCUUCAAAAACCCUGUACAAACUCCAACAUUAGUCUUUCAGGAACUCAAAGCUCGAGCCGUAAUAAUUUAAGCGAAACUCAAAAAAAAGGUCUUGGACCUGGACUAAUUUUGUUAAUCUCAGCAGCCGAUGCCGCUGGACUGGAUUUCUUAAGGUUGAUUAUAGCCUACAUUUACUGGAAAAGGAAAGAUUCGUCAAAUGGUUGUAGCUGCACUGGGAAAUGCAAAUUUGGUUAAAGUGAUAGAAGAAAACUUUGUUCAUGUGCUUGUAUCAAUGGGUUUCAAAAUGAAGAUUCAGAAAACGAAGAGCAUGAGAAAGGGGAGAGAUCGGCGAAGGGAGAAGGAGAGUUGGUGGCCAUUGAUAAAUGGUUCAACAUUGAACUGGACGAGCUGCUUAGAGCGUCAACUUAUGUGUUGGGAAAGAGUGGGCUUGGCAUAGUUUACAAGAUGGUCCUUGGAAAUGGGGUCCCUGUAGCUGUACGUCGAUUGGGUGAGGGUGGAUUAGAUCAGCAGAGGUACAGGGAGUUUGCUGCUGAAGUUUAAGCCAUUGGGAAGGUUAAGCAUCCCAAUGUUGUGAAGUUGAGAGAUUAUUAUUGGGCUCUUGAUGAAAAGCUUCUUAUUAGUGAUUGAAUCUCCAAUGGCAAUUUGACCAAUGGCAUGAAAGGUUAGCUUCUCUUUUCCCUCUUCUUCCACCCAACUCUACUAUUUCCUUAUUCUCCAUACUUUUUUUUAUUGUUUUUUCAAAAAUCUGUCUUCCUAUCCUUCAAAAACAUCAUCCAAUCAAUCACAAUUUGAUUUAAGUUUUUAUCAUUAUUUAAUACAGUUUGCGUUCUUUUUUUAUUAUAUAUUUUUCUAUGAUGUUGAAGGUUCAACCCUGUUCAUUCCUAACAUUAGUUGAUACAUUUGCUUCUUUUAAUCGUGUGUUUGUUAUGUUAAUAAAAUUUAGUAUUCCUUCCCUUUCUCUUUAUUUGGUAGAUUUAAAAGCAUAAAUAAUGGCAAUAAUAAUAAUAAUAAUAAUAAUAAUAAUAAUAAUAAUAAUAAUCUAACGUUGGUCAUGCUUAAUGAUGAUGAUCUAGAAAUGAAGUGGUCCAAAGUGGGCGACCCCUUAUGAGUGUAAUUACUCACCCACGGGGACUCAUUAGGCCUGCCAGUGUAGUCCCUUUCCGUUACAAUUAUACUCUCAUAGUGCGGAAACUUUUGUUAAAGAUCUUCACUUUCCGAUCUAUUAUAAAGAUGUUGUAUUUUAAAAAUAUAUAUUUAGAAUAAAUAUUAUUUUUAAAAAGAUAAAAAUGCAUGCAUAAUAAAAGAUCUUUUGAAGAAGAAACCACCCAAAGCGGGAAUGGUUUAGUAUAAAUUUAGUGGUAAAUUACAGUAGAAAAUCUAGUAAUUUUUGCUUCUCUCUUAUUUGUUAGUGAGUUUGACAGAUUUGUAGGUUGGUACGGUUGCUUUUAAAUGAGUUGUAUACCAAAUGGUAGGUCCCUCAACAGUCACCUUUGGCCUUGGAUGAUAUGGUUAAAAAAAGAAGUCAAUUUAGUAUUAUCUUUUUAAGUUACCAUACCACACAUGUUACGUAGAAGAAAAAGAGUUUAGAAACUCAUUUGAUAUAUCUAUAAAUACACGUAUGAUUACCCAUUUUCAUUUUUUUCCAAAUUAUGUAGUUUUAUUAUGUCGCUAAUAAAAAAAUUUCAAGCAGAAAUGGUCAGCCACCAACAAACCUUACAUGGUCAACAAGGCUGAAAAUCACAAAGAGAUCCGCUCGUGGCUUGGCCUACCUUCACGAAUGCAGUUCCAGGAAAUUCGUUCACGGCAACGUUAAACCCUCCAACAUCCUCAUUGACCAUUAAUUCCAUCCCUACAUUUUUUAUUUUAGCCUCAACAAACUCAUCACUACCGGCAGUGAUCCCUCUUCCUGCGGUGGCUUCAUUGGCGGACUUCCUCACAAAUCGAUCCAAACCGAACGAACCAACAACUACCGAUCGUCGGAGGCUCGAGCCAUCGGUGGUCGACCCACCCAAAAAUGGGAUGUCUAUUCAUUUGGAGUGGUCUUACUUGAACUACUCAUCAGGAAGUCCCCUGAGCUAUCUUCGACCACAUCCAGUUCUAUGGAAAUUCCAGACCUGGUGAGGUGGGUAAGGAAAGGACUCGAAGAAGAAAACCCCUUGUCGGAUAUGGCAGAUUCGAUGUUAUUACAAGAAGUACAUGCCAAGAAGGAAAUGUUAGCUUUUUUCAUGUAGCGCUUGCAUGCAUUGAAGCAGACCCUGAGAUUGGACCCAGGAUGAAAACUGUUUCCGAGAAUCUUGAAAGAAUUGGAACAUAAAUUAACAGCAUAUAUAUAUCCUUGUUUUGUCUUUUGUCUGUGAAAUAACAUGGUAUACUGAUUUUUGUUAGGGGUGGAAGAUUAACUAUAUUCAUUCCUCUAAAUGGUUUUCCAGAUUAGGCCCAAAACUUUCUUGAAAAUUCAACUGUCCCGGGAGAGCCAAUAGGAGACAAUGUGUCCUUUUUUGGCUACAAUUUUUUUUUUUGUAAUUUUAAAUUUCUGUUUAUAGUGGGAUGUGAUUGUAAUAAUUUCUUUCUUUUCUAACAAUUCAAGGCCACAGUGCUAAGGCAUUAAUUCUAUCUAUAUAGGGUUAAAUGCGCAUUUCAUGGGUUAAGUAUAUCAUUUUUGUUAGAUAUUAUUUUUCUGACAUUAAGUUUGACCCUUUUACUUGACAUUGUUGAUCAUAUGGCAAGUGUAUCCUAUAAGGCCAUGGAAUUUGAGAAGAAAAAUCUAGUACUCAGAUUUUAUGUUUUUAGGAAAACUAGUACUCGGAUUUUAUGGUUUUAGGACAAUAAAUAAACCAUGAGGGAACUCGCCGGUUAGUUGGCAACUUCUAACUCUUAAUAGAAAAAGUAAAUAUAGAUGAAAGUUGAAACUCAAUCAUUCUAGACUUGUAAUGAAAUUAAGAGUAUAGUCUUAUUAGAAAACUCAUUAAUCUAACUUAACAAUUAUAAUCGACAUUCAAUACUUAUACUCCAUAAAUGAAUCACUAACAAAGUAGAAAACUACCCUUAACUACUUAACUAACAAUGAAUUGCUCUUAAUUAAUUCAAGUUACUUAGUUACUUCUAAUAUUCCCCCUCCAGACUCAAUAGCAAUCACAUUCAUCUUAGCAUGAAAAAAAAAAAAAAAAAACCUAUGGUUAACGGUAUGGUCUACUUGAUCAUUCCCAAGUACAUAGUUGACCUGAAGUUGUUGCUGAGCACCUUGUCACGCACAAAAUGUAAGUCAAGCUCAACAUGCUUAACAUGAGCAUGUAGCACUGGAUUUGCUGCCAAGGACACCGUGCUGGAAUUAUCACACCAAAUUACUAGUAUGCCUUUAAUCUUCAUACAUAUUUCAUCCAGCGGAGAACGAAAUCAUGUCAAUUCGCAUGUUACAUUAGCUACACUUCUAUACUCAGCUUUUGAGGUGGCCAACACUAAUUUUUGUUGGGAUAUGGCGUUGUAUGUGUUGGUAUAACAAAAUCAAAGUUGAAUUCUUCAGUCUUUGGUGAUCCCUACAAUACAAUACAAUGGGAUCUGAAAUUAUUCAAAGCAAAGCAAAGAUAAGAAAAAAAACUGUCAAGUUGAUUUAGAUUCAGGGUUUCUUUUAUAUACUGAACUUAGCAUACAAGUUUGGAACGAGGUUUAUGUCAGUAAAGCAAAGUUAAAACAAAUCCAAAAAAGAGGAAUGAUGAAACCACCCCCACAACACCUUUAUUUCUUUUCCUGCAACGGCCAUGAAAAUAAUAGUUCAGUAAGAAAGGUAUCAAUCAUACAAAGAUAAUGGCACAGUAUAAAGGCCAAAUUAGGAGAUCAUUGAUUAUGGAUGGACCCAAGCUAGCAAGCAGUGAUAUUUCUUUACUUUUAAGAGUAAUUAGCUCCCCACUCCCUUCCCCUUAUUUUGGUUGAUUUAAUUCAAGCAAAAAAGAAGAAGCUAAAACCCCAUAUUCCUAUCCUUUCUCUCUCAAUUUUCUUCUCUUUCUUUCUUGGCUUGCAUUGAAGAAAAACAGGUUGGUUAAAGUGCCGCCUCAUGAAUGUGUAGUAAACAAAGUCAUUGUCACAAAAAGACAUGGGCAAUUGCUCUAGAGUUUGCAAGAACAAAGAUGCUAUAGACAUGAAUCUUAGUGCCCAAAUUCACUCCUCCAUUAAGAAGAACAUUUCCAGAAAGGAGCACUCCAUUGUUGAACUCGGUACUAGACGUCAGCCAUCAUCAAUAGAAUAAGAAAUCAGUUUUUGAGACUUGAGUUUGUUCUCUAACCUGGCUUUCUUAACCUUUCUUUUCUUUUCUUUUUUUGUCAUCAAUGGAUUAUUACAUUAUGCAGAUCUUUAACCUUUAUUGUUGCCUGGAAACUAAUUUACUCAAGUUUUUAACAUAUCUAACUGAAGUGUGCCUAUCAUUUCUAUGCAAGUAACACAGAAGAGAAGUUUUUUUAUUCCAUCCAAUGGUUAGAAUCUGACAGUGAAGAUUUCUUCAGUGUGAAUGGUGGUGAGAUUUUCCCCAAUUUUGUUGAGACAAACUAUUUUCAUUUCCCCAUAAUAAUAGCAUUGCUAAGUUUCUUAAAUUCAAAAUCACAUCGUUGCUUUUGACAAAGCUUAGUUUCAUCCAGAUUUUACUUUUUCUUGCGGAAAUAGCCCUAAAAACCUGAAAACCUGGAAGGAAAAUUCUCUCACAGAUACAAAGAAAUAACUAAUUGAGUUAUUUAGAGAGAGCUCUAAUGAUUAUGAUGAUGAUGAUGCUGUGAAUAAUUACCCAAAUAUGAAAGAUGAGUUGGAAGACAAAGCUGUAAUGUUGAACAAGCUUCUAAAGUCAAGAAGCAAAAGUCCACAUGAAUCCAUCUCCAACUCCAUUGGCAGCAAUAAAGCAAGAUGCUUCCUUGGGGAAGAAAAACCAGCCCACGAAAUAUGAGCUUUAAUGAGAUAAAGAAAGGGCUAAUAAACCCUCACAAUAACUGAUAUUUAUUCUGUAUAAAUCUCUUGUAAACAAUCUACAAUCUACAAUCUCAUAAUUGAAAAUAGUUCAACUCUAGUUUUUUCUUUUUACUAGUGUGAGUGUGAAAUUUAGAAAAAUUAGCAAAAUGGCACAAAACACAUUAUUAACAAAUAACAUCCAUGUACAUACCAUUAAAAUUUAACCAUAACAAAUACAUAAGUGUUAAACAAUGGUAUAAAGAUUGUUAAGAUGGUUAGUUUGUUAUAAAAUCUGUUAAGUAGUUGGUUAGGAGCUAUUAUUCCCAUAUGUGUAUAUAAACCUCAUCAAUGUGUUUAUUCAAAGAUAAGGAAUAAAGACUAAAGAAUUAUACUAUACUUUAUCUUUCUAUUCAUACAUAUUUUGCGUAGUACCUUACAUAGUAUUAGUCGCCUAGUCCUGGUACGUACUUCCGCUUUCGCAUUAUGGCACCAUCAACCGAUUCUAACUCUGCUGAUCCUAUGAGUCUAUCGUUUUCCAGUGCACUCCUGGUUCAAUCUUUCCCUCGUCAUGACACGGUGAAGCUAGAGGAAGAAAAUUUUGUCCAAUGGCAACAACAUGUCCUGUUGAUAAUAGAUGGAUAUGAGCUACAAGGAUCCUUGGAGGGUGUGUUGUUUGCCCCACCUAGGCUCGUCGCAUCUCCAGAAGGUGCACUUACUCUAAAUCCAGAUGCAUCUGUGUUUAAUCAACAAGAUAAGUUGUUAGCUUAUUGGCUCUUUUCUACAAAUAGUUCGUCGCUUCUAUCAUACUUUACAUCUGCUAAAUUUGUAUGCAAAAUAUAGAGCACCGCAAAUCGUCUUUUUGUUACUUUAAUUAGUGCGAAAGUUUCUCAUAUUAAACAUGAUCUUCACUCUACAAAGAAGGAUGAGUUAACUGUAAAAUAGUAUAUUGCGAAAAUAAAAAAUAUUUGUGCGUUACUUGCAGCUUCUGGAUUGGCAGUGUCAGAAGCCGAAAAGGUAAAAGUUAUUUUGGCUGGCCUCUCGUCAAAUUUUGACGUAGUGUUGACCUUGGCUUAGUUUUCGAUGGAGUCUCUUCUUUUUCAGCGAUUAGUUGACGUUCUUAUGGAUUUUGAAAGUCGACAAAUGCGAGUGACGUGUGAGGUUCCGAUGCAUGCUCAUCUAGUUGAAACGCCUAUGGUUGUUGCGGUAGUCGAUUCAGUUUCACGCGAUGUACAUGGAGGACGUGCUACAGUAGGUUCGCAAGGGCGUGGUUUUCGAUCACAAAUGCAGUGUCAAAUCUGUAACAAAUUCGGUCAUGUGGCGCAGUGCUGCUUCUAUCGUUUCAAUUGCUCCUACGACGGCCUGAAUGCUUCCACCAGGACGCGGUUUUCUUCUUCUACGCAUAAUAGACAAGGGCUACAAGGUUCUGGUUCGUUGGAUAGUUCUGGAUCUGGUGGUGAUUUUUUGGGAGGCUAGAUACCAUUUCAGAAUCGAGAUGUUUAUCCCCCGUAAGCUAGGGAUUUUUACCCUAAUGAAGUUGGUUAUGGGAUUGGAUUUGCUGGUGGAUCAAAUGGUGCUUGGUUUGGGUCUAUUGGUGGCCCAUCUGAAUUUUAUGGUAGGCGUGAUAUGCAGAUAGAUGUGGGGCAUGCUUUGGGCCAACGAUAUGCACAGCGUGUUGGGCCUUCUGCUGUAGCACACAGGCCGAGUUAUGCAGGCCAAUUUUGUGGGCAGCAUACUGGGCAGUGUUUUGGGCCGAAUGCAGGCCAGUCUCUUGGGUUUGUUAGUGAGAAAAAUAAUGGGUAACAUUUUGGGCCAAAUGUAGGCCAGUCUCUUGGGCCUGUUAAUGGGCAGAAUAAAAGGCUGAAUGGUGGACAGGUCAAUGUUAGUCAAAACUUUGGACUCAGUUCACUUGGGCCUAAUGCUAAUUAUGUUAAUCUUGAAGGCUCUAUGCGAAAUAAUGCUUUUGAAGUUCCAUGGCGGACUAAACUAUGAGCCCGUGUAUUUGAUUUUGAUUCCUCACAGUGUGUUGGGCUACCCCGAAUUCAUGAAUUUUAUGUGUCUAAUUUUUCGGAUGCCACACAAUAUGAUUCCAAAUUUGAUAAUACUAACUCAUGUGUUCCUGCGCCGAUAGGAAUCUUAUUAUGGUAUCCAGAUUCAGAGGCCACUCAUAAUGUGUGUCAGAAUGCGUCUAAUUUAAAUGCCUCCACUCCAUAUAUAGGUAUUUCUUCUCUUUUAAUGGGAAAUUGGGCUCCCACUAAAAUUUCUUCUAUUGGGAAUACUAUUCUACCAACAAAAAAGAAGUUAUUACAUCUUUCUAAUGUUUUGUGCUUGCUAAGUAUCCGAAAAAAUCUUAUGUCUGUUUCUCAAUUUGCUAUUAACAACAAUGUAUUUUUUGAAUUUCACCCCUCUUAUUGUGUUUUUAAGGACAUCCAGACAUAGGAAAUUUUACUGCGGGGCUAAGUUCGUGAUGAUCUCUAUCAAUUUUCGACCGGUUCGUCUGUUCUUUCUGAUUCAAUUCCCUCUAUUAACAACACUGAGAUCCAAGAUUAUCGAUUGAAUGAUGAUGAUGUCUUUUCACUGUGGCAUAAAAGGCUUGGUCACCCUUCUUCUGUGAUUGUUAAACUUGUACUUUACAAGUGUCAAAUUGUUUCAAAUAAAAAAUGUUUUGAUAAUGUUUGUGUUGCUUGUCAGAAAGGGAAAUCAAAUAAGUUUCCCUUUCACACUCUACCACUGAAUAUAUUGAAUUGUUUGAAUUGGUUGUCUCUGAUUUGUGGGGACCAACUUCUGUUGACUGUGGCGGUAAUCUGUAUUAUGUUUCAUUUAUUGACAUGUGUAAUCGUUUUACCUGGGUUUAUCUGAUUAAACAUAAAUCUCAAGCUUGCCAUGGGAAGACUAUUAAGAAAUUUCAAAGUGAUUGAGGCAGUGAGUUUCGUACUUUUGCUUCAGUUAUAGCUAGCCAUGGGAUUCUUCAUCGUCUUUCCUGCCCUCAUACUUCAGAACAAAAUAGUGUUGUUGAACGCAAACACAGGCACAUUGUGGAAAAUAGUCUUACACUUUUGGCCCAGGCUAAUCUACCUAUAAAUUAUUGGGGCUAUGCAUUUUACAGUGCUGUGCAUCUUAUUAAUCGAUUACGCACUUCAGUCUUGAAAGGUUAGUGUCUGUAUCAGAAUCUUUAUGGUCGUGAGCUUAAGUAUGAUCACUUAAGGGUGUUUGGUUGUUACACAAACUGGAUUUUCGCUUAUAGCCAUAUACGUUUCUGGGGUAUAGCUCUCAGUAUAAGGGUUAUCAUUGUCUCAAACCAGAGGGUAAGGUUGUUAUUUCUCGUCAUGUUGUGUUUGAUGAAUGUCGAUUUCUGUUUCAUUCAUUUGCACUGCCCACUAUUCAGUUGUCUUCUCAUUCUCCCACAUAUAUUCCUGUUGUUCAGACUUCUUCUGCCCAGUUUACUGCAAAACCCAGUAGUGCCACUGUCCAGUCAUCGAUUAUACCUCUGCCUCCUGAUCUAGGUUGCAAUUUUGACCGAUCUGUUAUGGUUGAGUUACCAGAUAUGUGUCAUCCCAGUGAGUUCAUCUUAGUUGGUUCACAGGCUAAAUGUGGGAGUAAUAUAAGGAGCAUUGUCUUUCGAGUUCGUCUAUGGAAGCUAGUCCGAUUGGUCAAUCCAGUAUGUCUCCAAAUAUUCAUUCUCUUCUUGCAGAAAAUACUCAUGCUAUGGUUACUCGGUCUAAUACACAAAUUUUUAAGCCUAAAGCUUUUUCAGUCGACGUUGUAGAUUUUGAGCUUCGAUCUGUUGAGGAAGCUCUUGCUCAUACGGAUUGGAAAUUCGCAGUUCAAGUUGAAUUUGAUGCUUUAAUGGCCAACUCUACCUAAGAGAUGGUUUCUCUACCUCCUGGUCGGAAAGCAAUUGGAUGCAAAUGGCUUUUCAAAAUUAGAAAGAAUCCUAAUAGGUCGAUUAGUCAUCAAAAACCAUGGUUGCUUUCAAAGGGGUGCUCUCAGGUUCGUGGCUGUGACUUCAAAGAAACGUUUAGCCCAGUGGUCAAACCUGCUACUAUUCAAACCAUUUUUUCUGUCUCUAUGACUAAUGGUUGGAAACUUCGUCAAGUCGAUGUAAACAGUGCCUUUUUAAAUGAAGACCUGACUGAUGAAGUGUUCAUGCAGCAGCCUCCAGGAUAUGUUCAAUAUGGUCCAAAUGGUGAGCCAUUGGUGUGCCAUCUGACAAAGGCUUUAUACGGAUUACAGAAAGCUCCCCGUGCUUGGAUUGAAACAUUGAAACAAUUUAUUAUCUCUGCUGGGUUUGUCUUGUCUAAAGCUGAUGCCUUUGUAAUAGCCCAAUUUAGACCCUAGUCGGAACAAUAGUUUUGGGACCACAAAUUUGAGUUAUAAAAAUAUUUUAAUAUUAUUUUUGGUGUCUACAACAUGUUAAUUUAUAUGUUUGAAAAUUUCGUGUGAAAAUUUUAUCGUUUGUGUGCUCGAUUUUAUAAAAAGACUUAAUCGUGUAAAAUGCAAAAGUGGCUAGCUAUUUGUUAAAGUGCUAUAUUGCUAUGGCUUUUAUAAUAUGGGGCCCUUAUGUUGAUAUUAUACCAUUGAAAUUAUGAGUGGACUUUUAUGGACAUGGUUAGUUAAUUAUUAAAGUAAUUUCAAUAAGGUUAAAAUGGUAAAUGGUUUAUUAAUAUGUAUUAAAUAAAAAAAAAACAUGAAUUUAGUCUUUAGUUCAUUUUUAUUUCACCAAAAUAAGAAAAGAAAAAGGGGUUUUAAAGCUUUUGUACAUUCGGUCUUUGAAGGUUUUGAUUGAGGUAUGUUUUUUAUUCAGUUUUUGAUAAUUUUUAUGUUUUUGAGAUUGUUGCUUUGAACUCUAUCUAGCCCAUGUCACAAUUUUUGAAAUUUUUAGUGAUUUUGAGAUAUUCCAUGGAUGAAUCCAUGAGUUUGUGUUGAUAGUUGGUGAAAAAUGAAAGAUAUUGUUGGGUUUAUAUGUUUUGUAUUGUGAUUUUUGAUGAAUUUGCUUAGUAUGGACUAAUUUGUGAAAAUGAGAAAUUGAAGGGUUAAAAUGUGAAUAAAUGAAAGAUAUGGGCUUAUAUGAAUUAUAUGAAUAUUCAGCCAAGCAUGAGAAAUAUGAAAUUUUAUGUAUUUUGUGAUUUUAUGAAAUAUGGACUAAAAUGUCAAAAAUGUGAAUUUUAGGGGCUAAAGUGAAAAACACCCUAAUUAUGUGUUUGUGGUUUAAAUUGAAUGAAAUGUGUUAUUAAAUAGCCAAUUUUGAAUUUAUAUAGAUCAAGAACAAAAGAAAACGGAAUUAGAUAUGGAGAAGUCGAAAGUGGUUGAGUAGUCGAUUCCAUCUGUUCGUUUCCGUACGAAGUAAGUUCGUAAGUAAAUAAAUGUCAUUAAAUUUGAAUGUAUAUGUAUUAUAAAUGUUGAAUUUAUUUUUAAUGAAUAUAUGUGUAAAUGUCAAAUUGUUUUAAGCAUGGGGGAAUUGUUUACGAGCUUGAUUCGAUUGAAUUACGACAUCCGAAAGCUCGUACGAACCAUAGGAAUAGUUAGGAUACAUAUGUCAUGACAUAGGAUUCCGAUAUGUGAUAUCGUGUAAGACCACAUUUGAGAUGUUGGCAUCGAUUUGAGAUUUACGUGUAAGACUAUGUCUGGGACAUUUACAUCAUAUAUGAUUUCGUGUAAGACCCUGUCUGGGACAGUGGCAUCGUUAUUUGAUUACAUGUAAGACCACGUCUGGGACGUUGGCAUUGUAUGAGUUUUUCGAGUUAUCCUUAUUGAUUUUGAACAGUUCGACGGGCAAUAUCGAGAAAUGAAUGAUUAUGUAAAAAUGUAUCCGAUUCAGGCACGUGUGAUUUGUUUAUGUAAUUCAGAAAUGAAAAGUGAGUAUGUUUCAAAUGACUAUACGUGAAAUACAUGACAAUGAAUGAUGCUUAUGUAGUAAAUUAAAUCAUAUGAGAAAAGUGAAUGUAUAUAUGUUUGAAAUUGUUUGUAUUCGGCCUAUUUGAAUUGAAUUGUUAAUAAUCUUAUAAUGAUUUAUUUGCUUAUGGAUUACUAAGCUUUCCAAGCUUACUUUGUUUGCUUAUCCGUUGUUUUAUAGAUUUUGAAAGCUAGCUCCAAGCUCGGGGAUCAUCUAGGAUCAUCGUCACACUAUCGACUAUUACUCGGUAUUUUUGAAGUUUGAAACUAUGAACAUAUGGCAUGUAUAGGCUGCUUUUUAUAUGUUUGUUUUUGAAAUUUGUAUAUAGAUAGCGAUGCGAAAAUGGCUUGAUUAUAAUGUUAAAGCUUGUGUGUAUGUGGCUACGGCUUAAACUUAUUUUGGAAGUAUGUUUCUU
Molecule: long non-coding RNA, 51852 nt
Filed under: Gossypium barbadense (sea-island cotton)
Lineage: Eukaryota; Viridiplantae; Streptophyta; Magnoliopsida; Malvales; Malvaceae
Description: long non-coding RNA (GBAR_LNC021902)
Rfam family: MIR7486 microRNA precursor family (bases 24705-24791)
Source: RNAcentral